AAACAUCAGAAGUUAAACGGCACAAACAGCCUGGACGUCGUACAACACACAUCAGUAAUUAAACUGGAAAUCCCCUAAAAAAGUAAUUAAACUGGAAAGCAGUAAUUAAACUGGAAAGGGUACAAAGACAGCGAAAAUCGACUAUGCUGCGCAUCAGCUUCAACUUGUUAUAAGCAGAAAUAGACAUCAUACAACACAACUAGGCAACAGAGAUCAUAACACGACUAAUUAAGAUGCAUCUAAUAGCACAACUAAGUAACACUAGCCAUGAGCCAAGACGACAUGUAUCGUCGUCUAUGUCGGAACGUCAAUAUUUAGGACGCAUCGACCGCUAUUCUAAUAAAGUUUAGAGACGGCCUAGGAUGCGUUCCGCUUCUUCGCCUUCCUCGUCGCUGUCGUGGUGGAUGACGUCGUACUGGUCGUCGGGGAGGUUGGCCCUUGGGUCGUCGUCGUGGAAGACGUCGACCUGGACGUAGGCGUUCCCGUCGCGCUUGAAGUCGGCGAGGACCCUCUCAUGGUGGGCUCGCUCGGCCUUGAUGGCGACCAUGGAGCGGAGAGUCUCGGGGAGGUUGGGCAGGGGAGGGCGAGGCUUCUUGUCCCACUCGAGCAGCCACUUGAUGUAGCUGUUCCGAUGGUCCAUCUUCACCAUCCUCUUCUCCUUGAUCCGAUACCCCUCAUACGGGUUGAGCCUCAACCUCUCGGGGGAUGCAGCACCACCAGCAGGCGCCGCCUCCUUCUCCAUCGGGAUCGAAGCCUCCUCCAACGAGUUCGUCGAUUGCGUCGUAACCCUAAGUCGCAAGAUCCCCUUCUCGAUCUCGAUCGAUUUCGUCGUAACCCUAAGUCGCUCGAUCCCCUUCACGAUCUCGAUCUGGCUGAGUGGGUUGCGGCGGUGGGGUGGGUGGAGAGGGGGGAGGGAGGGCAUAGAUAUAGUUGCUCAAGCCCUAGCUCCUGUCGGAAACGGACUGAGACGGCCCAAAGGAAAUCGUCCCAUGGGCUUCUACCAAUGCCCCCACCAAUUUUUUCAUUGAAUUAUAUAUAAUCUUUUUUUUUUUUGCGGAACUAUACACUGAUGAAGUAAAGAUGAAACCUUAUUGAAAAUUUCCUGGAUCAAGUUGAAGUUUAGCGCAGCGUGCCGUGUUACCUGGCUUCGUCGUGGUGAUCGUAACAUGAAGUAUUUUAACCAGUUUGCCUCUGCUAGGCGUCGGAGAAAUUUGAUCAAAAAAUUGAGAAAUAGUAAUAAUGGGUGGGUUGAGGGUAAUGAUAACCUCAAUCCAUUAAUUUGUGAUUAUUUUGGUAACCUCUUUUAAGUCUGAUUCAGCCGAGAUCAACUAGGAGCUCAUGCAUGCGGUCAAGCCACAUGUAUCGAGCAAUAUGAAUAGGCUUCUUAUUGCGCCAUACUAGGUGCGCAAGGCUCUAUUUACGAUCCUUGUAUCCGACGCGCUACUUGUAUCCGAAUUGGUGCACACACCCCCAGCAUACACAGGUUUCCUCGGUGGGCCGGCCAAUCAGGAAAGCGCUUUUAUACAUCAGUUUGGUUUCUUUCUACAUGUUUCAUGUGGGUUUUAAACCAUUUUUGUUUGAUUUUAUUUUUAUUUUCUUCUUCUUUUUUGCUCAUUUUUUAAACCUGUCCAAACUCAUGACCUUUUUCCCAUUUCAUGAACUUCUUCAAACCCUUGAACUUUAUGAAAUUUCGCCAGCUUUUGAAAUGCAUGAACCUUUUUUCCAAAUUCUUGGAAAAAAAUCAUCUUCCUGAACUUUUUUUCCUAGUCAUGUACCUUUUACAAAUGCGUGAUUUUUUUAAAAAAUUUGCAAACCUUUGUUCAAAUGUGUGAUUUUUAUCAAACUCAAUAUUAUUUCUAAAUUAGCAAAAAAAAUUAAAAAACUGAGCAUUUUCGCAAAUCCAUUACGUUUUUGCAAAAUCAUGAGCUCCAUUAUUUUCUUUUGCGGGGUUCCAUUCAAAAUAUGUGAACUUUUUCAAAAUUGGGUAAUUUCUUUAAAUUCAUUACAAAAAUUAAAUACAUGAACAUUUUGGAGUUCGUGAACAUUUUUUAACUUCAUGCAAAAAAAAGCAAUUACGCGCACAAUGUUUUUCGCCUUCGUAAAAAAAAAAUCAAAAUCUGCGAUUUGAAAGAAAAAAAAUCAGCCGGUGGUUGGGCCAUGGGUCAUCGGUCAACCCUUCUCUUGAGAAGUAGGGGGCACCGAGCGAUCGUGCACGUUAGCCGUGUUGUUGGGCCAGCCGACGCCAACGAGCGCUUGAGCGUCGGUUCGCUUCCACGAUGCUUAGAGCACUAAUUAGGAGGCAACUCCUAUUUGCCGCCCGCAGACGACAAACUAUCGAGGAAACGCCUGCAGUAGAGCCAGAUUAGCCGGCCCACUAUGGGGUUCGCGUGAUUGUUUCGUGGGAGCUCUUGUUCGGCGCCUUAAGCGCCCGAACAGGUAGCUGCCGCCCGUGCGCCCUGCCACAUGGGCCGGCCCAGAAGACCUGCAGAAAAGAAAACGCAAACCGCGAGAAAAAAAUUACCAAAAAAUCAGGAGAACUGUGAAUCAAACUCUGAACGCGAAUGCAAAUGCCCACCGUCGUUAACCACUAGGACAUUCUCAGUUUGUUGAGUACUAAUGGAAACAGACCUUAUUUAACCAUUCCUCAAGUACAAAAAAUAAACAUAUACUGGUAUUAUAUACUAACUAUAAUUAUAUUUGAAUAAAGAAAGCAUAAAGUUGAAAAAGCAUUCGCAAAAACACGAAUUGAAAUAAAUAAGCAAAUUUCAAAAAGGUUUGUACCAAAUUGGAAAAAAUGCAAAAACGAAAAAUUUCAUGAAUUUUAAAAGGAGUUAUCGAAUUUGAAAAAAUUUCACCAAUUUAUAUAAAAAACCCAAAAUUUCAAAGCACCUGAUCGAAUUAAGAAAAGUUCAUCGAAUUCAAAAAAGUUCAUCGGUUCUGAAAAAAGUUCAGCGAUUUUGAAAAAAAAAGUUCAUCGAUUUUGAAAAGUUUCAUCAAUAAUGAAAGAAAGCACAUCAAUUUUGAAAAAUGUUCACCGAUUUUAGGACAAAAAAUCAUGAAUUCUUAAAUUAGUUCAUCGAUUUUGAAAAAAAGUUCAUCAACAUUGAAAAACGUUCAUUGAAUUUGGAAAACCCUUCAUCAAUUUCGAAAGAAAGUUUAUCGAUUCUAGAAAAAAUUCAUCGAGUUUGUAAAAAUGUUCAUCGAUUUCGAAAAAACAUUCAUCGAUCUUGAAGAAAUGUUCAUUGAUUCUAAAAAAAUAAAUCACGAAUGUGAAUAAAAAGUUCACGCAUUUUGCAAAAAGAAAAAUAAUGAGAAAAAAAAGCCGAACAAAACAGUUCCCAGAAAAAGGAAAAAACGAAAAAGAAAAAGAAUAAAGUUCCGCGAACUGUGGAGGAUAAAUGAGGGAAGACGAUGUGACUGUAAACGACCAAUGGAGGUAGCCUAGUGGUUGCUACGCGUUGCUUUGAAUAAAAGGUCUCUAGUUCGAAUCUUUAUGGUCGCAGCUUUUUUGGAAUUUUAACAGGAAAGGAAGAAAUAGUUAAAUGGGCCGGCCCAGUUGCGGGAGGGAGGGUUUGCUGCAGGCGCCCGUUAUUCGUCGCUGCUCUUUCUUUCGUUGGAUUUUUUUCUUCUUCCACGUUUUGGGUUUUCUUCGGUUUUUUACUGGUUUUGUUCCCUUCAUUCGUUUUCCCUUUUUGGCUCCUUUCUAGGUUUUCUUCCGGUUUUCCUUUUUUACUGUUAAAUGGGCCGGCCCAGUUGCGGGAGGGAGGGUUUGCUGCAGGCGCCCGUUAUUCGUCGCUGCUCUUUCUUUCGUUGGAUUUUUUUCUUCUUCCACGUUUUGGGUUUUCUUCGGUUUUUUACUGGUUUUGUUCCCUUCAUUCGUUUUCCCUUUUUGGCUCCUUUCUAGGUUUUCUUCCGGUUUUCCUUUUUUACUGUUAAAUGGGCCGGCCCAGUUGCGGGAGGGAGGGUUUGCUGCAGGCGCCCGUUAUUCGUCGCUGCUCUUUCUUUCGUUGGAUUUUUUUCUUCUUCCACGUUUUGGGUUUUCUUCGGUUUUUUACUGGUUUUGUUCCCUUCAUUUGUUUUCCCUUUUUGGCUCCUUUCUAGGUUUUCUUCCGGUUUUCCUUUUUUACUGUUUAUAUUUUUUGUGUAUAAACACAAAUGUUAACCACACUUUACAAAAAUGAUCAUCGUGUAUUAAGAAAAUGGUAGGUGUAUUUAAAAAAUAUUAUUGAUUAUUUUUUAACAGUCAGCAUAUGCCACAAAAAUGUUCAAUACGUAUUUAAAUACUGUUCAGCAUAUAAUACAAAAAAUGUUCAAUGUAGCUACCCCGACUGGCGUAUAUCCAUCUUAAGGUCUGGAGUUCGACCCCCAAUCAUGCGGGUUUUUUUUUUUGAGAAUUUGUGGUUUUAUUUUUUCUUGACCUUUGUACAUUCGCUCGACGCUUGCGAAUGGGCCGGCUCAUUUGCGAGCAAGCUUAAGUGAAAGCUCGACUAUUGGACACACGCACCCCUAAAAAGACCAUUGGACGCACGAGGCCGUCCAAUAAGAGCUCUCCUAAUUAACGGGUGUCUGGCUUUCUAUGUGGAUACUAUUUGCUGCCCGCGCGUGUUAAAUAAACGGGGUGAUGUCUGACAGUAAUCUGGCGGGCCGACCCAGUUCGUUCGCCGCAUGGUUAUUCGUUCCGUUUGUAUUGCUUUCUUAUUUGUAUGUUUACCCGGUUUAUACAUGGAGAAUCUUUCUAUAUAUCGUGAACCUUUUUAAAAUGUAUGGUGAAGUUUUGUAAUAUACGGUGCACAUUUUCUUAUACAAACUGCUUUUUUAAGGUAUGGUGAACUAUUUUUUAAUAUAUACUGAACAUUUUUUAAUACACAUGAAACUUUUUUAAAACACACACCAAAUGAUUUUUUUAAGGAACUAAAAGGUAAAUAACCAAAGAGAAAAGGGAAAAUCUAAGUUAAGGCGUGCGCAGCUUGUCCUUCCCGUGCGGCGGCGCGCUGCGAUUCGCACAAGCUUGAUCCCCGCGGUUGAGACAAAAAGCAGCGAAUUUUUUUUUGCGAGAGAAAAUGUUUUUUUCUUUGUUAUCCUGCAUGCAUAGCCGACUACAGUGAAAUCAUUUUUCCUCUGCACUUGUCAUAUUGCACAGCCGGGACAAGCAGUUGUGCAAGAAACAUCCGCCUACUCCCUAAAAAAUAAGGGUUCAUUUGCCUCACAUCGGUCCGCCUCGUCUCCAUUGGCCUUAGGGACAUGGAGCGCGGUCGAUCCCGGCCCUUGCCGGUGGGAGGGCUCCAUUUUUAGAUGUGUCUUCGAGAUUUAUUAGGGUUUGUGUCCUACUUCAGGAAGGCAAGACGACGACGGCUCCCUGAAUAUGGAAUAAAAUUAUCCCGGCCUAGCCCCAGUUCUGAUGGUGCAUCUAACAUUGUCGGUGGGCCUGCCCUAUGCCAGCCCUCUCUCUCUCUCCACUAAGGCCAAUAAGCCCAUUAAUUCUCCGAGGGGGGUGUCCGGUAACCGUCCGGCACUCCGGUUUUCUCCAAAAUCACCCGGAACACUUCUGGUGUCCGAAUAUAGUCGUCCAAUAUAUCAAUCUUUAUGUCUCGACCAUUUCGAGACUCCUCGUCAUGUCCGUGAUCACAUCCGGGACUCCGAACAACCUUCGGUGCAUCAAAACAUAUAAACUCAUAAUAUAACUGUCAUCGAAACGUUAAGCGUACCGACCCUACGGGUUCAAGAACUAUGUAGACAUGACCGAGACACGUCUCCAGUCAAUAACCAAUAGCGGAACCUGGAUGCUCAUAUUGGCUCCCACAUAUUCUACGAAGAUCUUUAUCGGUCAGACCGCAUAACAACAUACGUUUUUCCCUUUGUCAUCGGUAUGUUACUUGCCCGGGAUUCGAUCGUCGGUAUCUCAAUACCUAGUUCAAUCUCGUUACUGGCAAGUCUCUUUACUCGUUCCGUAAUACAUCAUCCCACAACUAACUCAUUAGUUGCAAUGCUUGCAAGGCUUAAGUGAUGUGCAUUACCGAGAGGGCCCAGAGAUACCUCUCCGACAAUCGGAGUGACAAAUCCUAAUCUCGAAAUACGCCAACCCAACAAGUACCUUCGGAGACACCUGUAGAGAACCUUUAUAAUCACCCAGUUAUGUUGUGACGUUUGGUAGCACACAAAGUGUUCCUCCGGUAAACGGGAGUUGCAUAAUCUCAUAGUCAUAGGAACAUGUAUAAGUCAUGAAGAAAGCAAUAGCAACAUACUAAACGAUCGGGUGCUAAGCUAACGGAAUGGGUCAAGUCAAUCACAUCAUUCUCCUAAUGAUAUGAUCCCGUUAAUCAAAUGACAACUCAUGUCUAUGGUUAGGAAACAUAACCAUCUUCGAUUAACGAGCUAGUCAAGUAGAGGCAUACUAGUGACACUUUGUUUGUCUAUGUAUUCACACAUGUAUUAUGUUUCCGGUUAAUACAAUUCUAGCAUGAAUAAUAAGCAUUUAUCAUGAUAUAAGGAAAUAAAUAAUAACUUUAUUAUUGCCUCUAGGGCAUAUUUCGUUCAGUCUCCCACUUGCACUAGAGUCAAUAAUCUAGAUUACACUAUAAUGAUUCUGACACCCAUGGAGCCUUGGUGUUGAUCAUGUUUUGCUCGUGGAAGAGGCUUAGUCAACGGGUCUGCAACAUUCAGAUCCGUAUGUAUCUUGCAAAUUUCUAUGUCUCCCACCUGGACUAGAUCCCGGAUGGAAUUGAAGUGUCUCUUGAUGUGCUUGGUUCUCUUGUGAAAUCUGGAUUCCUUCGCCAAGGCUAUUGCUCCAGUAUUGCCACAAAAGAUUUUCAUUGGACCCGAUGCACUAGGUAUGACACCUAGAUCGGAUAUGAACUCCUUCAUCCAGACUCCUUCAUUUGCUGCUUCUGAAGCAGCUAUGUACUCCGCUUCACACGUAGAUCCCGCCACGACGCUUUGUUUAGAACUGCACCAACUGACAGCUCCACCGUUCAAUGUAAACACGUAUCCGGUUUGCGAUUUAGAAUCAUCUGGAUCAGUGUCAAAGCUUGCAUCAACGUAACCAUUUACGAUGAGCUCUUUGUCACCUGCAUAAACGAGAAACAUAUCCUUUGUCCUUUUCAGGUAUUUCAGGAUGUCUUGACCGCUGUCCAGUGAUCCACCCCUGGAUUACUUUGGUACCUCCCUGCUAGACUUAUAGCAAGGCACACAUCAGGUCUGGUACACAGCAUUGCAUACAUGAUAGAGCCUAUGGCUGAAGCAUAGGGAACAUCUUUCAUUUUCUCUCUAUCUUCUGCAGUGGUCGAGCAUUGAGUCUUACUCAACUUCACACCUUGUAACACAGGCAAGAACCCUUUCUUUGCUUGAUCCAUUUUGAACUUCUUCAAAACUUUGUUAAGGUAUGUGCUUUGUGAAAGUCCAAUUAAGCGUUUUGAUCUAUCUCUAUAGAUCUUAAUGCCCAAUAUGUAAGCAGCUUCACCGAGGUCUUUCAUUGAAAAACUCUUAUUCAAGUAUACCUUUAUGCUAUCCAGAAAUUCUAUAUCAUUUCCAAUCAGUAAUAUGUUGUCCACAUAUAAUAUCAGAAAUGCUACAGAGCUCCCACUCACUUUCUUGUAAAUACAGGCUUCUCCAAAAGUCUGUAUAAAACCAAAUGUUUUGAUCACACUAUCAAAGCAUUUAUUCCAACUCCGAGAGGAUUGCACCAGUCCAUAAAUGAAUCGCUGGAGCUUGCACACUUUGUUAGCUCCCUUUGGAUCGACAAAACCUUCCGGUUGCAUCAUAUACAACUCUUCUUCCAGAAAUCCAUUCAGGAAUGCAGUUUUGACAUCCAUCUGCCAUAUUUCAUAAUCAUAAAAUGCGGCAAUUGCUAACAUGAUUCGGACAGACUUAAACAUCGCUACGGGUGAGAAGGUCUCAUCGUAGUCAAUCCCUUGAACUUGUCGAAAACCUUUCGCAACAAGUCGAGCUUUAUAGACAGUAACAUUACCGUCAGCGUCUGUCUUCUUCUUGAAGAUCCAUUUAUUCUCGAUUGCUUGCCGAUCAUCGGGCAAGUCAACUAAAGUCCACACUUUGUUUUCAUACAUGGAUCCCAUCUCAGAUUUCAUGGCCUCAAGCCAUUUUGCGGAAUCUGGGCUCACCAUCGCUUCUUCAUAGUUCGCAGGUUCAUCAUGAUCUAGUAGCAUGACUUCCAGAACAGGAUUACCGUACCACUCUGGUGCGGAUCUUACUCUGGUUGAUCUACGAGAUUCAGUAGCAACUUGAUCUGAAGUUCCAUGAUCAUCAUCAUUAACUUCCUCACUAAUUGGUGUAGGCGUCACAGAAACCGAUUUCUUUGAUGAACUACUUUCCAAUAGAGGAGCAGGUACAGUUACCUCAUCAAGUUCUACUUUCCUCCCACUCACUUCUUUCGAGAGAGACUCCUUCUCUAGAAAAACUCUGAAUUUAGCAACAAAAGUCUUGCCUUCGGAUCUGUGAUAGAAGGUGUACCCAACAGUCUCCUUUGGGUAUCCUAUGAAGACACAUUUCUCCGAUUUGGGUUCGAGCUUAUCAGGUUGAAGCUUUUUCACAUAAGCAUUGCAGCCCCAAACUUUCAGAAACGACAACUUUGGUUUCUUGCCAAACCACAGUUCAUAAGGCGUCGUCAAUUUCGAUGGUGCCCUAUUUAACGUGAAUGCGUCCGUCUCUAAAGCAUAACCCCAAAACGAUAGCGGUAAAUCAGUAAGAGACAUCAUAGAUCGCACCAUAUCUAGUAAAGUACGAUUACGAUGUUCGGACACACCAUUACAUUGUGGUGUUCCGGGUGGCGUGAGUUGCGAAACUAUUCCGCAUUGCUUCAAAUGUAGACCAAACUCGUAACUCAAAUAUUCUCCUCCACGAUCCGAUCGUAGAAACUUUAUUUUCUUGUUACGAUGAUUUUCAACUUCACUCUGAAAUUCUUUAAACUUUUCAAAUGUUUCAGACUUAUGUUUCAUUAAGUAGAUAUACCCAUAUCUGCUUAAAUCAUCUGUGAAGGUGAGAAAAUAACGAUAUCCGCCACGAGCCUCAAUAUUCAUCGGACCACAUACAUCUGUAUGUAUGAUUUCCAACAAAUCUGUUGCUCUCUCCAUAGUACCGGAGAACGGCGUUUUAGUCAUCUUGCCCAUGAGGCACGGUUCGCAAGUACCAAGUGAUUCAUAAUCAAGUGGUUCCAAAAGUCCAUAAGUAUGGAGUUUCUUCAUGCGCUUUACACUGAUAUGACCUAAACGGCAGUGCCACAAAUAAGUUGCACUAUCAUUAUCAACUUUGUAUCUUUUGGCUUCAAUAUUAUGAAUAUGUGUAUCAUUACUAUCGAGAUUCAACAAAAAUAGGCCAUUCUUCAAGUGUGCAUGACCAUAAAAGAUAUUACUCAUAUAAAUAGAACAACCAUUAUUCUCUGAUUUAAAUGAAUAACCGUCUCGCAUCAAACAAGAUCCAGGUAUAAUGUUCAUGCUCAACGCUGGCACCAAAUAACAAUUAUUUAGGUCCAAUACUAAUCUCGAAGGUAGAUGUAUAGGUAGCGUGCCGACCGAGAUCACAUCGACUUUGGAACCAUUUCCCACGCGCAUCGUCACCUCGUCCUUAGCCAAUCUUCGCUUAAUCUGUAGCCCCUGUUUCGAGUUGCAAAUAUUAGCAACAGAACCAGUAUCAAAUACCCAGGUGCUACAGCGAGCAUUAGUAAGAUACACAUUAAUAACAUGUAUAUCACAUAUACCUUUGUUCACCUUGCCAUCCUUCUUAUCCGCCAAAUACUUAGGGCAGUUCCGCUUCCAGUGACCAGUCUGCUUGCAGUAGAAGCACUCAGUUUCAGGCUUAGGUCCAGACUUGGGUUUCUUCUCCUGAGCAGCAACUUUCUUGCUGUUCUUCUUGAAGUUCCCCUUCUUCUUCCCUUUGCCCUUUUUCUUGAAACUACUGGUCUUAUUGACCAUCAACAUUUGAUGCUCCUUCUUGAUUUCUACCUUCGCAGCCUUUAGCAUUGCGAAGAGCUCGGGAAUCGUCUUAUCCAUCCCUUGCAUAUUAUAGUUCAUCACGAAGUUCUUGUAGCUUGGUGGCAGUGAUUGGAGAAUUUUGUCAAUGACGCUAUCAUCUGGAAGAUUAACUCCCAGUUGAAUCAAGUGAUUGUAGUACCCAGACAUCUUGAGUAUAUGCUCACUGACAGAACCAUUCUCCUCCAUCUUGCAGCUAUAGAACUUAUUGGAGACUUCAUAUCUCUCAAUCCGGGCAUUUGCUUGAAAUAUUAACUUCAACUCCUGGAACAUCUCAUAUGCUCCAUGACGUUCAAAACGUCGUUAAAGUCCCGGUUCUAAGCUGUAAAGCAUGGCACAUUGAACUAUCAAGUAGUCAUCAGCUUUGCUCUCCCAGACGUUCUUAACGUCGUCAGUUGCAUCAGCAGCAGGCCUGGCACCUAGCGGUGCUUCCAGGACGUAAUUCUUCUGUGCAGCAAUGAGGAUAAUCCUCAAGUUACGGACCCAGUCCAUGUAAUUGCUACCAUCAUCUUUCAACUUUGCUUUCUCAAGGAACGCAUUAAAAUUCAACAGAACAACAACACGGGCCAUCUAUCUACAAUCAACAUAGACAAGCAAGAUACUAUAAGGUACUAAGUUCAUGAUAAAUUUAAGUUCAGUUAAUCAUAUUACUUAAGAACUCCCACUUAGAUAGACAUCCCUCUAAUCCUCUAAGUGAUCACGUGAUCCAAAUCAACUAAACCAUGUACGAUCAUCACGUGAGACGGAGUAGUUUCAAUGGUGAACAUCACUAUGUUGAUCAUAUCUACUAUAUGAUUCACGCUCGACCUUUCGGUCUCCGUGUUCCGAGGCCAUAUCUGUUAUAUGAUAGGCUCGUCAAGUUUAACCUGAGUAUUCCGCGUGUGCAACUGUUUUGCACCCGUUGUAUUUGAACGUAGAGCCUAUCACACCCGAUCAUCACGUGGUGUCUCAGCACGAAAAACUUUCGCAACGGUGCAUACUCAGGGAGAACACUUUAUACUUUGAUAAUUUAGUGAGGGAUCAUCUUAUAAUGCUACCGUCAAUCAAAGCAAGAUAAGAUGCAUAAAAGAUGAACAUCACAUGCAAUCAAUAUAAGUGAUAUGAUGUGGCCAUCAUCAUCUUGUGCUUGUGAUCUCCAUCUCCGAUGCACCGUCAUGAUCACCAUCGUCACUGGCACGACACCUUGAUCUCCAUCGUAGCAUCGUUGUCGUCUCGCCAACUUAUGCUUCUACGACUACCGCUACCGCUUAGUGAUAAAGUAAAGCAUUAUAGGGCGAUUGCAUUGCAUACAAUAAAGCAACAACCAUAUGGCUCCUGCCAGUUGCCAAUAACUCGGUUACAAAACAUGAUCAUCUCAUACAAUAAAAUUUAGUAUCAUGUCUUGACCAUAUCACAUCACAACAUGCCCUACAAAAACAAGUUAGACGUCCUCUACUUUGUUGUUGCAAGUUUUACGUGGCUGCUACGGGCUUAGCAAGAACCGUUCUUACCUACGCAUACGAUAGUUUGUCAAGUUGGUGUUGUUUUAACCUUCGCAAGGACCGGGCGUAGCCACACUCGGUUCAACUAAAGUUGGAGAAACUGACACCCGCCAGCCACCUAUGUGCAAAGCACGUCGGUGGAACCAGUCUCGCGUAAGCGUACGCGUAAUGUCGGUCCGGGCCGCUUCAUCCAACAAUACUACCGAACCAAAGUAUGACAUGCUGAUAAGUAGUAUGACUUAUAUCGCCCACAACUCACUUGUGUUCUACUCGUGCAUAUGACAUCUACGCAUAAAACCUGGCUCGGAUGCCACUGUUGGGGAACGUAGUAAUUUAAAAAAAAUCCUACGCACACGCAAGAUCAUGGUGAUGCAUAGCAACGAGAGGGGAGAGUGUUGUCCACGUACCCUCGUAGACCGAAAGCGAAAGUGUUAGCACAACGCGGUUGAUGUAGUCGUACGUCUUCACGAUCCGACCGAUCAAGUACCGAACGUACGGCACCUCCGAGUUCAGCACACGUUCAGCCCGAUGACGUCCCUCGAACUCCGAUCCAGUCAAGUGUUGAGGGAGAGUUUCGUCGGCACGACGGCGUGGUGACGAUGUUGAUGUUUUACCGACGCAGGGCUUCGCCUAAGCACCGCUACAGUAUUAUCGAGGUGGACUAUGGUGGAGGGGGGCACCGCACACGGCUAAAAGAUCAAACAGAUCAAUUGUUGUCUCUAUGGGGUGCCCCCUGCCCCCGUAUAUCAAGGAGCAAGGGGGAGGCCGGCCGGCCCUCUAUGGCGCGCCAGGAGGAGGAGUCCUCCUCCUAGUAGGAGUAGGACUCCCCUCUUUCCUACUCCUACUAGGAGGGGGAAAGGAAGGNNNNNNNNNNNNNNNNNNNNNNNNNNNNNNNNNNNNNNNNNNNNNNNNNNNNNNNNNNNNNNNNNNNNNNNNNNNNNNNNNNNNNNNNNNNNNNNNNNNNNNNNNNNNNNNNNNNNNNNNNNNNNNNNNNNNNNNNNNNNNNNNNNNNNNNNNNNNNNNNNNNNNNNNNNNNNNNNNNNNNNNNNNNNNNNNNNNNNNNNNNNNNNNNNNNNNNNNNNNNNNNNNNNNNNNNNNNNNNNNNNNNNNNNNNNNNNNNNNNNNNNNNNNNNNNNNNNNNNNNNNNNNNNNNNNNNNNNNNNNNNNNNNNNNNNNNNNNNNNNNNNNNNNNNNNNNNNNNNNNNNNNNNNNNNNNNNNNNNNNNNNNNNNNNNNNNNNNNNNNNNNNNNNNNNNNNNNNNNNNNNNNNNNUUUUCUCCGAAAUCAUCCGGAACACUUCCGGUGUCCGAAUAUAGUCGUACAAUAUAUCAAUCUUUAUGUCCCGACCAUUUUGAGACUCCUCGUCAUGUCCGUUAUCACAUCUAGGACUCCGAACAACCUUCGGUACAUCAAAACAUAUAAACUCAUAAUAUAACUGUCAUCGAAACAUUAAGCGUACGGACCCUACGGGUUCGAGAACUAUGUAGACAUGACCGAGACACGUCUCCGGUCAAUUAACAAUAGCGGAACCUGGAUGCUCAUAUUGGCUCCCACAUAUUCUAUUAAGAUCUUUAUCGGUCAGACCGCAUAACAACAUACGUUGUUCCCUUUGUCAUCGGUAUGUUACUUGCCCGAGAUUCGAUCGUCGGUAUCUCAAUACCUAGUUCAAUCUCGUUACCGGCAAGUCUCUUUACUCGUUCCGUAAUACAUGAUCCCGUAACUAACUCAUUAGUUGCAAUGCUUGCAAGGCUUAAGUGAUGUGCAUUACCGAGAGGGCCGGGAGAUACCUCUCCGACAAUCGGAGUGACAAAUCCUAAUCUCGAAAUACGCCAACCCAACAAGUACCUUUGGAGACACCUGUAGAGAACCUUUAUAAUCACCCGGUUACGUUGUGACGUUUGGUAGCACACAAAGUGUUCCUCCGGUAAAUGGGAGUUGCAUAAUCUCAUAGUCAUAGGAACAUGUAUAAGUCAUGAAGAAAGCAAUAGCAACAUACUAAACGAUCGGGUGCUAAGCUAACGGAAUGGGUCAAGUCAAUCACAUCAUUCUCCUAAUGAUAUGAUCCCGUUAAUCAAAUGACAACUCAUGUCUAUGGUUAGGAAACAUAACCAUCUUCGAUUAACGAGCUAGUCAAGUAGAGACAUACUAGUGACACUUUGUUUGUCUAUGUAUUCAGACAUGUAUUAUGUUUCCGGUUAAUACAAUUCUAGCAUGAAUAAUAAACAUUUAUCAUGAUAUAAGAAAAUAAAUAAUAACUUUAUUAUUGCCUUUAGGGCAUAUUUCCUUCAUUGCCCCCAAUUCAUUCAACGAUAAUGGUUUGGCCUUUGGUGAGCCACCUUGAAGAUUCGUAAAGCUGCAUAUCAAUGACGGAGUCACGCCAAGAUCGGGUAAGGUGAUGAUCAGUCAUCUUUUAUUUGGUAACAGAUGUGAUGGUACGAGAGACAUGUGACGAAUGUUGGUGUCAAGCUUACAGCUUGCAUCGAAGCCACUCAAACCGAUGACGGACUAACUUUUACAUGGACUAACUGGACUCCUUGAGUAGCCAAAAAAAUUACGUAGUACAUACUAGUAGUAUUGCUAUCUCUUUUGGAUUAGUUUGAAUCUCUAUUCCUAAUGGAGCAGUUGGUAGUCUCGCUUCCAGGUUUUUUUUCGUCCCACCUCUCAUGGUUUUUUUUGGUACCUCCCGUGGCCCUGGGAGUUGGUGCGGUGGAAGCGGCACUUGAAGGACCCAACGUGGGUGGCCGGUGCGCAGACGCACUUGGAAGCGGGCCCGUGGCCCGCGCCAGACGAUGCCGACGCUGACCCGGGCCACCUCCUCCGCAUAUUCUUGGAGCUGUGGCUGGCCGAUUUACAUGAAAUUAUUUUCCUUAGUUGUGGUGGCAAAUAUAAUACACAUAAUCGAUAUUGUUAUGCACUAGCGUGUGUGUGUGUGUGUGUGUGAAAUAGAUGGAUUAUGGUCCCGUACCCAGUAAGAUGGAUGUGUGUGUGUGUUAGAGAGAGAGAGAGGGAGAGGGGGAGAGAGAGUGAGGAAGAGGGAGGGAGAGAGUGUGUGUGAGGAUUUGAUGGUAAAAAAGGUUGCCAAUGUCACUUGAUAUGUAUGAGAAUAUUAAUAUCGAACUUUUAAAGUUAAUGUGGCCCCGUUGCAACGCACGGGCGUUCUUCUAGUUGCAGUAGUAUUGUUGUCUCAGUUGUUGUGACAUUUUUUUGCGUGGUAGCCGUUGUCUUCACUGAAAUUGUUUAGUUAAAAAGAACUGCAAUUUUUGUAGUAUAAAUUAUCCCUUUAGCUACAUUUCAGCCAACUGACUUUUUAUUUUGUGGUCAAUCGAUUUUCUGUUCAUUGGAUGUGCUUUGAGAUCUGUGUUGUUUUCAUUUUUUCUGUUUAAUUCUGUUGUGGGAUGUGUGGAAUCGAUUGACCCCUAUUUUGGGCCAGUCGAAUUGCUUCCUGGGCUUGUUUUUGUUCUUCUGGGUUGCGUUUUUCUUUUUCCUUUUUCCCUUUUUCUUUAUUGGUCUUUUUGGGUUUUUGGCUGAGUGUAACUAUAUACAUACAUAUACUAUAUAAUAUGUGCAAAAAUUUCAUUAUUAUAUGAUUAUUUUUGCUUAUUACGAUAAAGUGUAAUUUUGGUGGAAAGUUGUGCACAAGUUUUUUUAAUUUCUCUCUUCUUAAAGGAAAUACCAUCGCCAUUAAUUCAUUCCUUUUUAGAAAAAAAUCAUUAUUUGAUAUUGUUUGGCACUUCAUUUUGAUUCUACUUUAAGGUCAAGUACCAAUGCCACUAUUCAUUUGUUCUUAGAUUUUGUAUUUGCAAAAGUUCCACUUUUAUAUGCUUAUUCUUGCAUAUUUUUGAACAGUGCAAUUUUUAUUUAUAUUUCACGCAAAUUUUGUCAGUGUUUGUUUUAGAUUCUUUUUCUCAGUUUUUUUCUUCUUAAACGGUAAUACCAAUGCCACAUAUUCAUUCUUUCUUUCUUUUGUGGGUAUUUUUGCUUUUUUUAUUCUGGUUUUCUGUUUCUAUGCGCUUUUUCUUUUUCUUUUUUCCUUUUAUUGGUUAUUUCUUGUUUUUUGUGGGUUUUAGCUGUUUUUUUUUGUUGAGUUAUCUUUUUUCUUUAUGUGUUUUUUUGGAAGUUGAGUUUGUGUAAAUAUAUACACACAAGUACUACAUGUAUACAUUAUACUAGAGUAUGGAAAUUUCACUACUAUAUGUUUCUUCUUACAUAUUAUAAAAAGUGCAAAUUUUGUUCUAAUCACGAAGAAAUUUUAGUUUUAAGUUUUUAUUUCAAUUUCUCUCUUUUUAAGGGUAAUACCAAUGACAUAAUGCAUUCCUUCUUUGAAACUUUUUUUUUAUGUAAAUUCUACUAGUAUAUGUUAGUUCUUGCAUAGCUAUAGAAACUGCAAUUUAUGUGUAACUUAUGUGCAAAUUUUAUCAUGAUUUAUUUUUCAUUCCUUUAUUCUUAAAGGGUGGUACCAAUGCCACUACUUCAUUCUUUUUUAGAAAAUAUCAUAUUUUUGUGUGUUUAAAUAAGUAUACACGCAAGUAGUAUACAACAUGUGUGUAAAUUAUAGUGGAGUGUGAAAUUGCAAUAUUAUAUGUUCGCUGUUUGCAUAUUACUAAAAGUGCAAUUUCAGUGCAAACUUGUGUGUAAUUUUUUCUCUUUUUGUUUUUUUUCUAAAAGGGGUUCAUUAUUCCCUAGAAAACUUUAUUAUUUUGAUUUUGUUUUAGUUUUUUUUCAUUUUGUUUCUUCUUAAAGGGUUUCAUUCUUCCAUAGAAAACUUCAUUAUUUUGUUUUUAUUUCUAUUUUUAUUUUAUUUCCUUUUAUUUCUUUAGAGGCAAUACCAAUGUCAUUACUAUUAUAUGUUUUAUUGGUUACUCAAAAUAUUAUAUGUUUAUUCAUGCAUAUUAUAAAAAAUGUGAUUUUUGGCCCAAUAGAUUAGAUCUUCUAAUUUGUACUACCACUGAUCUGGAUUGAGAUCUAUGCAACUUUUUAAGGGGUGUACCAAAGCAUUUCCUAUUUUAAUUUUUAACUUAAUGUGAUUGCGAUUUAGUUUUGCUCAUUUCUUGAAAAAGGUUUCAGAAGUAUACAAUGAGAUGGUGUGUACUAUUUCUACCCUCAAUAAAGAAGUUAGAGAUAUAGAUUUAGAUUUGCAUCACGUAAUCUAAUUGUAGAAAAACUGAAUUAUUUAUGCACAAAGAUGGUUGUUGUGAUUAUAUUAUCUUGGAUUUUGUUAUAGCCAUAUGUGCAGGGACAUUUUGAUAUGAUAAUUUACUGCUCCCUCUGUCAACAAAUAUAAGAUGUUUUUUGCGAGAAAAAUAAAUAUAAGAUAUUUUAGAUUACUAAUUAAAAUAAUAUAGUUUUGUACAUUUAGACUAUAUUUAGAUAUAUAUGAUAUUUUAAGAAGGGGUAAUGAACAUAUAUGGAACUAAAUGAAUAUGGCCGAGAACUAAUACUUUUCUGCCAACCCGUUGACACUGCUAUGGUAGUGGUUUCUUCCACGAUAGUCCCGUUUUCUUGUCAUCGGACCGUUUAUUCCGUUGAAACGCACGAGCGAUACAUAGUAUAGGAAAAGAGGGAACACCUGAAUCGUUGGAGGAGAAAAGUAGAGAUUGAACUAUCCAAUUCCAAACAUCUUGGACUUCAAUGGCCCUCGCUCUGUCCUCGAUUCCCUGUUUGAGCAAAUUGUAUGCAAAGAGAAGACCAAUCAGGGAGCCAAAAUUAAACAAACUAUAAAAAGAUCAAAUGGAAAAUGGACUUAAAAAAUACUAGAUCUUUUUGAGGCGGCGUCUAUCCUGGUUGCAAAGCAAAUGGGGCUGAUGAGGUUCUGCCAGCCUGCCCCUGCCCCUGCCCCUGCUGCUGCUCACAGAUGGGCCGGACUUCUUAUAGGCAAUGUGCUGCAGGAAAAGUAAAGAGAAAUCUGUAAGGAAGUGAUAAUGAAAAAGUUAAGGGUGAUCAAAGGAACCAACCAUAAUCAAUAGAGAUAAUAUCGUCGGGAGUCAUAUAACUUUGCACUUGAUGUUUAGUAUGGUGCUAAAACUUUAAAAACGCGAAUUUGUGAUUAUCUAACUUGCACUCUCGUGCAAAUACGGUCACUUCACUCAUAUUCAGACUAUACACACUUAUGUGGCACACCAGUGUGGCUAUGGCCCACUAUCAGUGCUUGGAACAGCUUAGUGUGUGUUUUUUUCUUUUUGCAGAAGCACCCUCAUUCUGUAUUUAAUUAAGCGGACGCACGUGGGUCCCAUUUAUGAACAAGGUGGCGAGAGAAAUGAGAACAAAAAGUGCAUGCGGGGAUUUGAACUCCCGACAUUAGGUCCAUGCACGCACUAGCAAACCACUUCACCAACAACAUAUACAUCCAUACAAAGAGGUACACUUGGCUUAAUAUUCGACACAGAUUUUUUUUUGGAUUCCUUUUUUUCGUCAAUAAGUUCAAACUAAAAAAACCGUGUCAAAAUGAACAAUAUUUAUCCCAUGGCAUACAAACUUUUUUAUGAGCGAGAUUUUUUCUUUUGCAAAAGAGAAUUAUUUAUUCCAUUUUUUCAGGGCAUCGAAAAACCUGGGUUUCGAAAUAUCUUGGCAAUUCUAGUUUUUUCGCCCAAAAAUUCGAAAUGAGGUAACGUCUAAAUAUGGUUUAACAAAAAAAAUGUCCACCUGAAUAGAGGAGCCGUCGUCUCCAACAUAUAUAAUUCAGCAUUUCUUGUCGCAUAGACACGAACCGGUACUUGGUGAAGUGACCGUAUUUGCACGAAAACGCAAGUUGGAUGACCACAAAUCCGUAUUUUUAUAAUUUUAGCACCAAACUGAACAUUGAGCACAAGUUAUAUGACUCCCGAUAAUAUUACCUCUAAUCAAUAAUGCUAGGCGCUUUGAAAGAGGAGCAGAAUAGAGAACAACAAGACGGACGAGGGGAGAACAAACAUCGGCUAAGGAUUGUAUCAGCUACUGUUUUAUCAACUUAAACGAACGAUUGGUUGAAAUACACACAGAGGUCGGGGCCCUAAUCAGGCUGGGCCCUAGGCCGUCGCACUUCCUGCCCCUACCCAAGGCCGACCCUGACAGAAGCACCGCCUCAUGGUCGUUGCAGUCAAAAGAUUUCAACCCCCGCGUGGUCUAAACUAGUUAUAUACAAAUUGUAUGAUAAGGGAAGAGCCAAGAAGUCCAUUUUUUUUGUUAAAUAAUGGUCAUGCAUAUGAGAUAUUUUUCAAGUGUUGGUUUUACUCUUUCAAGACCAUUUUGCGUGUGAAUGAUGAGUUAUGUUUGUAUCUUAGUUGAACAUUCAUUCAUAGCUUUAAAGUUGUCUUUCCACAUGUGACUUGUAUACAUGAUGUUCCUAGAUGAUCAUCAAAGGCUUACAUGAAGCUUAUUAUGACCAAUCGUUUUCUUCCAAGCCUUUCAACCAAUCGAUGCGACCUCGUAGGGUAGCUUUUGCUAAAACUCGAGCAGUUUCUUGAACACUUGCUUCAAAUAUGAAACUUUGGGUAUCUAGGGAAGCCCUUGUUAUUCCCAAUAAGAUUGCUCGAUAAUAGAUCGAUUCAUCCAAAGCCCUACUCAUUCCGUUCACUGUAGUUCGAUUAAUUCCUCUGGCAAAGAAACAUUAGGCAUUCCAUAUUUGGAAACCCACACUUUUGAGGGAAUGUGUCUAGUGCACCCGCGCUUGUGGUGCUACUGGUGCACCGGAUGCUGCAGAGCAUUUAAAAAAAAUCUGAUUUUUUUUAAAAUAGUGACACAACAUCAUUGUAUGUUGUCAAAAAGUUUUGGUAGCAAAAUUUGAAAUAUUUCUAAAGCCCAACUUAUGUUAUGUACUAUUAAGUGUAGACCUUGUCAUUUUCGUUUUUCGAGCGAUGAUUUGAAUUUGAUUUCAAAAUUUGUGACAUCCUACAUUGAUGUUGUCUCAAUGUGCUAAUUCUUUUUUCAAAAAAUUUAAGCAUUUUGAAAUGUACAAGAUGAGUUCGGUGCACCGAUAACCAUAAGCAAUAAAUGCCAUGCUUCGAUAGGUAUGGCCCAAGUUGCUGGAUCCAGGUUUCUUGGCCCACAAUCCUGAAGCAAGGGUUUGGUAGCCUGUAAAGUGGGUUUCUUGGCCCACAAUCAAUCCUGCACAAGUCAGUUCCAGGGCCCUCGAGAAGGUUCCAUCAUAUGGACCCGCAUGCGUUAGCGAAUGGGAUCCGCAUCCGACAAGGUCCACUCGUGGAGAGUAAAGAAAGACCGGGCGCGUCGGUGCAGCCCGAGCCCGAGACGGCGACCGGAUCCGAUCCGAUGCGGGAACUCUAGGGUUCGCGAGGCUAUUUAUACGCGAGACCGGGGUCUCCUGCUCACUCGGUCCCAGCCGCCGCCGCCACUAGCUUCCAGCGAACAGAGCCAAGGGUUUGGGAGAGAGCGAUGGAGGGAGGAGUGAUCUCGUUGCCGGCGCCGGCGCCGGUUUCUUGCCUCGCCAACAGGGAGUUCCAGGCCACCCCCACCCCCAGCCCGUCCGACGAGUCGACGGUCCUCCGCGAGCUGAACGUUUCCGUCUCCCUCGCCGGUCUGGACAUCUCCCGCGGCCACCACGGCGAGCCGGACGUCCUGGGCCAGAGACGCAGCAAGUGCAAGCCCAAGGUCCGGACAGUCUCCAAGAUGCACAUGGCGGCCAAGGCCAAGGCCAGGGCGGAGAAGGCGGCGGCGGCGGCGCUCGACAAGGCCAAGGCGGAGAAGAAGGCGGCGGCGGCGAACGACAAGGCAAAGACGGAGACGAAGGCGGCGGCGGCGGACUACAAGGUCAAGCCGGAGAAGGAGGCGGCGCCUGCUGGUGGUGCUGCUGCAUCCCCCGAGAGGUUGAAGCUCAACCCGUACGAGGGGUAUGCGAUCAAGGAGAAGAGGAUGGUGAAGAUGGACCAUCGGAACAGCUACAUCAAGUGGCUGCUCGAGUGGGACAAGAAGCCUCGCCCUCCCCUGCCCAACCUCCCCGAGACGCUCCGCUCCAUGGUCGCCAUCAAGGCCGAGCGAGCCCACCAUGAGAGGGUCCUCGCCGACUUCAAGCUCGACGGGCACGCCUACGUCCAGGUCGACGUCUUCUACGACGACGACCCAAGGGCCAACCUCCCCGACGACCAGUACGAGGUCAUCCACCACGACAGCGACGAAGAAGCUUGAUCUACUUAGCUGAGCAAGAUCUAUCUACCUAUCUAUCUAUCUAAUGUGCGCCAUGGAUUAGAGUGUGAUUCCUUCUAGUGAUCUACUGCGUCUUAAAUUUAUGUUUGCAAGUGAUGAUCUUGUAUCGUAGCUAUAUGUAGUGUGUCCUCUGGCUUUUGCAACCUGGCAAGCUACUAUCUAUCUAAUGUGUUACUGAAACUCUCUGUUAUGUUGUUCUUCAAAUCAGCGAUCACAUCGGUCACAAAUCUUCAUAGGGCAAAAUUGAUCCGCAAUUACUUGUUCUAGAUGUAUUUCAAUGCUAGAUACAUCCAUUUGAGCGAUAAGUAAUUCCGAGUGGAGGAAAUACUUGGCAAUAGUAGUAUGUGUUGACUUUCUACUAGUUCAUGCCAAAUCGGAAACUUUUUGUUGGUCUAAGAUAUGUUGACUUUUUGUAUGUCUUAUAUAAGAUAAUUUCUCUACUGCAACAACAGGAGCCUGUCGACAAUCUGAAUUAUAGCUCAGAAGCAGAUGAAGCUCAAUGUUAGCACUAAGGUGCGAUUACCUCCACUAUGACAAAUUAGUCCACUUGUGUUUUCUCAUUCAUGGCUCUAAGUACGCAGUAAAUAGUAAAUACACACGUUGUCUUGUCAUGUGGAGAGUUCAAGUUCUUUUGUUUUUUGGUAACAAAAGCGAAUGCAUGCUCUGCACAGAGUUCAAGUCAUAGUUUUUCAUGUUUAUGUUGGCAUGUGGGAUUGAUGCAGGGAAAUAAUCCUGCCUAUUUUUGUUGCUACAGGGUUUGUCUUACUCUUGUACUUGAUCGCCAUGAUAUAUACUUAAGCUCAUAACACGAGCCUUACAAUCCCUGUUGCCUUUCUAUGACCCCAGAAGUGAAAUCAUUCAUUCUUUACCCUUUUACCAUACUUGUGUGGUGUCCAUUGUUUGUUGUCCAUAAAGUUUAUAGGUGUCAAUCUUUGUAGUUGCUGCUCUAUUUCUGUUGUUGCACUUAUGAACUCCGGUAAUUAGAUUGGCAAGUUCAAGGGGUGAAGAUAGCUGCAGGUAGUUUUCAGAAUGAAUAGCUUUACACCAUGAUUUGCAGUUUUAUGGUAGUUAAUUUUGAUCACAAAGACCCAUAAUGUGAACUAAUAAGUAAUACCACCUGCAUCUGUAAAUUUAACAACUGGACACAUUGAUUCAGUGCCUCCUUUUUCCACGUGCAAAAGUUGUUCUCAGGUUUUCAACAGAUCCUGCUCUGCUAUUAUAGGCAACCCUUUUAACUUCACUCUCUUUAUGAUACUCAUGUGGUUCUCUAUAUCGCACCAUGAGGCUAGGGCUAUGAUGUAAUUGUCUUGACCAAUGUUUAAUCUGAUGUUAUUACUAUCAGUUUAUUUUCCAUCUUCCGGCUUCCGCAGGAUGUUUGUUCAAAUUUUGCACAUAUCUUGUGAGCUUGUGGAGUUUCCGCUAAAGAAAGCAUUUACUUUUUUUUCCCAGUUCUCAGUUAAAUUUUGGAUCGUCUUUGUUUGUUUGUUUGUUUGUUCCUUUGCAACUUUUGACCAGCAGCAUGUUUACCUGUUGUAACGACAUCAAAUACAGCAAAGUAGGCCAGCCCGUCCUGUUUUCUUUGAUAAUCUGUUUCUGUUGCUCUUGCUAGCAGAUGACCAUUGACAUAUUUUGACCAUUAUGCAGAUGUUAGAAUAGUGGUUUGUAUUUGGUUGCCCAUUCCUCUGACCACUUAUUGUAAACUUUAGUGUUCAACUCUAGAUAGUUAAACAAAUGACUGCAUGUCAGCAGCAUCUUUCUGGACUGACACAUUAUUAUUGCUCCCUUCGUUUCUUUUUAGUCUGCAUAUAACUUUUGUUUGAAGCCAAAGUAUCACUAGUUUAACCAAACUUAUAGAAAAAUGUAUCAACAUUCACAAUAUCAAAUCAAUAUCAUCAUAUUUUAUUAUGGAAUAUAGUUUCGUAUUAUAUAGUAUAUAUUUGGUAUUGUAGAUGUUUGUAUUUUUAAAUAUAAAUUUGGUCAAACUUUGCAAAGUUUGACUUGACACAAAUCUUAAAGUAGGAAGUAUUAUUAUUAAGAUGCCGAUAACUCCCAAAUGUUUGGGAUAUGCUCAUGGCAAAUCAAAUAUUUUUUGUGGCAAUUAUGUACAUAAGGGAUGGCAAGUUUAGUUGGUAAGCAUGACAAUUUUGUCUUUGGCUUGUUUUUUGCAAGGAAAUUAUCGUGGUUGUCAACUAAAUUUGUCAUCCUUGUAUCAACUAAAGUUGUCAUAAAAUCGUUCGAUUUGCCAUGGGCAAAUCCGGAAUGUUCGGGGUUUAUCAUUUUCGUAUUAUUAGCACUGUGGUGGCUGGUGAAUAGACCAACCUGACUGACAUGCAAGUUCUAUUUUGGUUGCCAUGAUUGCAAUAUCAAACUCUUUUGUUUGGAUGUGCAGUAUGGAACAAACAAGUCUUCUAUGGCUAUAAGGCCCUAUUUUGUUUGUCGAAUGUAGUUCUUCCGGGUUGACUUGCAAAUUGAUCAAAUGACUGUAUGUGACAUAAUAUGAAGUAACAACCCAUAAUGCAAUAAAUAUCAAUAUAAAAGCAUGAUGCAAAAUGGACAUAUCACUUCACCAGAGGGUAAAAGUGCUCCUGCCCAAGUUCCGCCUCGAGACGGCGGCACUUCGUCCCGAAAGUCAUCUCCUUAUUUUUUUUUCUAGGUCAAAAUGACUUAUAUACCAGAAGAGGGGCACCGGAGGUGGGCCGAGGAGGGCACAACCCACCAGGGCGCACCUGGGAGGCUUGGCAUGCCCAGGUGGGUUGUGCCCACCUGGUAGGCCUCCUCUGGUAGUUAUUUGCUCUAGUAUUUUUCUUUUAUUCUAAAACAAUUCUUCGUAAAGUUCAGCUCAUUUGGAGAUAUGCAGAAUAGGUAACUCUAACAUAGCUUUUCCAAGUCCAGAAUUCCAGCUGCCGAUAUUCUCCCUCUUUGUGUAAACCUUGCAUAUUAUGAGAGAAAAGGCAUUAGAAUAACUCCAAAAAGCAGUAUUAUGCAUAAAAACAUAGUAAAUAACAGUAGGUAAACAUGAUGCAAAAUGGACGUAUUAUGGUGUAACCUCUCUUUUACGCGUUGUAAUUCUACUUAAACAUGGUGCUCAACGCUAUAUAUUAUUAUCCAAUGAUGUGUGGUUAUUCUAUGAUGUUUGAGUAGAUCUGUUUUGUGCUAUGGGUUGAUUGAUGGUCAUGAUUGGUUUGAGUUGUAUGUUUUAUUAUUGGUACUGUCCUAUGGUGCUCUCCAUGUCGCGCAAGCGUGAGGGAUCCCAGCUGUAGGGUUUGCAAUAUGUUCAUGAUUCGCUUAUGGUGGGUGGCGUGAGUGACAGAAGCACAUACCCGAGUAAGUAGGUUGUUUGCGUAUGAGAGUAAAGAGGACUUGAUACUUUAAUGAUAUGGUUGGGUUUUACCUUCAUGACCUUUAGUAGUUGCGGAUGCUUGCUAGAGUUACAAUCAUAAGUGCAUUGAUACAAGUAGAGAAAGUAUGUUAGCUUAUGCCUCUCCCUCAUAUAAAAUUGUAAUAAUGAUUACCGGUCUAGUUAUCGAUUGCCUAGGGACAAAUAACUUUCUUGUGUGACAAAAACCUCUCCACUAAAACUAACUUAAUUGUUUAUUUAUCUAAACAACCCCUACCUUUUAUUUACAUGUUCUUUAUUAUAUUGCAAACCUAUCCCUUUACGCCUAUAAAGUACUUCUAGUUUCAUACUUAUUCUAAAGAGCAUGUCAUCCCCCUCCGGAGCAUCAUUCGUAGAUUGGAAUACCCUCUUGAGCUUGCAGUGUGAAGCUACUACCUCACGAACACCACCACCACCUUCUUCACCACCAAAGGAGAUUUGAGUACAUGGUAUGGGCACUUCCCUUGGCUUGUGCCAAGCUUGGGGGAGGUGCCCCGGUAUCGUAUCACACCAUCUCCUUUACCUUUAUCUAUCUUAGUUCGAUCUUUAGUUAUCUUUUGAAUUAGUUGAAUAAAAGUUUAGUUUAAUCUUUUUCAAGUUUUUGCUUAGUGAUCUAUCUAUCUAUGUAAUCGUGUGCGAGAUAUAUAAUAAAUUUUAGUUCGAGUUUUGCUUUCUUUACUCUUAUGUUUCAAUCAAACUAAAAGGAAAUAAAGAAAAAUAUCAUAUGCUAAUCUUAUGGUAAGUAAUGACAUCACAUAAGGAAACGUAUAAUGGUAAAAUUUAUUGGAGAUUGACAAACAUAGCAUUGGUAAAUGAUGCAAUUCAUGAAAGAAUUAAUAAGGGAAGAGAAGAUUCACAUGCAAAUACACUAUCUUGGACAUCUUUUAUGAUUGUGAGCCCCCAUCAAAAUAUUAUAUGCCAAAAUUGUUGAUGUUGGACAAGGAAGACAACAUAAUGAUUUGUGCUUGUUCAUAUUCACAAAGAAGUUAUAUUGUCAUAGAUCAUUUUAACAUGUGGUGCUUGCCCCCUAUCUUUUCUAGCCAGACAUUCCGCACUAAGUAGAGAUACUACUUGUGCAUCCAAAAACCCUUAAACCCAAAAUCUUGUUUUGAGAGUCCACCAUGCGUACCUAUGAAUUGAGUAAGAUCCUUCAAGUAAGUUGUCAUCGGUGCAAUAAGGCAAUAAAAAUUGCUUCUAAAUGUGUUGAAUCAUUUCGUGUAAGAGAAAAUUGAGCGUUGUGCGAACUUGUGAUGGCAAAACAAUAAAGGCGACAGACUGCAUAAUAAAGGUUGCUAUCAUAAGGGGCAAUAUAACGUGACGUUCUUUUGCACUAAGAGAUUGAGCAUACAAACCAAAAAAGCGCACGGCAACCUCUGCUUCCCUCUACUAAGGGCCUAUCUUUUACUUUUAUGUAUUUAUUUUUAUGCAAGAGUCAAAGUAUUCUUCCCUAUUCCUUCUUAUUUUCUCCUUUUGCAAGCAUCAUGUGGUGAGGAUGGUUGAGUAUGUGGACUUGCCAAAAGGCUCCAAUACGAGACCAUUCCUGAAAAGAUGAUGAAUUGUAGUUGCAAAGUUGACUGAGAACAUAGUUUGCUGGUUUUCAGUAGAGUUUAUGCUUUUACUUCGAUGUUGUAAAGAAUUGUUACUUGUUCAUGAGAAGUUAUAUGAUAAAGUUAUACGAUAAAGUUUUAUGAUAAAGUUUGUUUGCUGUCAUAAUAAUGUCUGUAUUUUGUUUUUAUCGACACCUCUCUCUCUCUCUCUAAGCAUGUGGGCAUGUUUUUUGAUAUUAGUUUUUCACUUGAGGACAAGCGAGGUCUAAGCUUGGGGAGUUGAUACGUCCAUUUUGCAUCAUGUUUUCAUGUUGUUAUUUAUAAUGUUUUUAUGCAUAAUAAUGCUUUAUGGAGUAAUUCUAAUGCCUUUUCUCUCGUAAUAUGCAAGGUUUACACAAAGAGGGGGAAUACCGACAGCUGGAAUUCUGGACCUGAAAAAGCUAUGUAAGAGUUACCUAUUAUGCACAUCUCCAAAUGAGCUGAAAAUUUACGGAGAAUUGUUUUGGAAUAUAUUAGAAUACUGGAGCAAAUAACUACCAAAGGGGGCCCACCUGGUGAGCACAGACACCAGGGCGCGCCCUGGUGGGUUGUGCCCAGCAAGGCCCACCUCCGGUGCCCAUCUUCUGGUAUAUAGGUCAUUUUGACCUAGAAAAAAUAAGGGUAGGACUUUCGGGACGGAGCACCGCCGUGUCGAGGCGGAACUUGGGGAGGAGCACUUUCGCCCUCCGGCAGAGCGAUUCUGCCGGGGGAACUUCCCUCCCGGAGGGGGAAAUCGAAGCAAUCGUCAUCACCAACAACCCUUUCAUCUUUGGGAGGGCAAUCUCCACCAACAUCUUCAACAACACCAUCUUCUCUCAAACCCUAGUUCACGUCUUGUGUUCAAUCUUUGUACCGGAACCUCAGAUUGGUACCUGUGGGUGACUAGUAGCGUUGAUUACAUCUUGUAGUUGAUUACUAUAUGGUUUAUUUGGUGGAAGAUUAUAUGUUCAGAUCCAUAUGAUAUCUAAUACCCCUAUGGUCUUGAGCAUGAUUAUCAUUUGUGAGUAGUUACUUUUGUUCUUGAGGUCACGGGAGAAGUCAUGUUGCAAGUAAUCAUGUGAACUUGAUAUGUGUUCGAUAUUUUGAUGAUAUGUAUGUUGUGAUUCCCUUAGUGGUGUCAUGUGAACGUCGACUACAUGGCACUUCACCAUAUUUGGGCCUAAGGGAAUGUGUUGUGGAGUAGUUAUUAGAUGAUGGGUUGCUAGAGUGACAGAAGCUUAAACCCUAGUUUAUGCGUUACUUCGUAAGGGACCGAUUUGGAUCCAAAUGUUUAAUGCUACGGUUAGAUUUUAUUUUAAUACUUUUCUCGUAGUUGUGGAUGCUUGCGAGGGGGUUAAUCAUAAGUAGGAGGUUUGUUCAAGUAAGAACAACACCUAAGCACCGUUCCACCCACAUAUCAAAUUAUCAAAGUAGCGAACACGAAUCAAACCAACAUGAUGAAGGUGGCUAGAUGAAAUCCUGUGUAUCCUCAAGAAUGCUUUGCCUAUUAUAAGAGUCCGUUUUGGCCUGUCCUUUACCACAGAAGGAUUGGGCUACCUUGCUGCACUUUACUUAUCAUUAUAGUUACUUGCUUGUUAGAAAUUAUGUUGCUAUCAAACUAUCUAUUACUGACAAUUUCAGUGCUUGCUGAAAACCACUUGUCAUUUCCUUCUGGGUUCAACACUCUUACUUAUCGAAAGGACUACGAUUGAUCCCCUAUACUUGUGGGUCAUCAUGAUCCAAAGCACAUGACACAAACAUAGGGACCACCUCACACGAACCUGAUACAAACAAACUGUGAGAUAUAUGGAAUUCAAUGAUUUCUGUACUCAAGCAUCUACCCUAGUAUCUUGAAAUAAUAGGCCAAUCAGAAUCAAAAUGGUCCAAGUAAGCAAUGGCCCUUAUCUAAUACAGGGAAUCAACAACGUAGAAAGCAUCAUAGGAGAUGUAAGGUGGUAUACAGAGGAAUGCAUAUUCUUGGCAGCCAAGCAACCAAUUCAUUAUUCCAUCAACCAUGAAGAGUCACUCGGAUGCAAAGUUUGUUUUCAUGCACAAAUUGAGAAGCCACCAAACAAUACAUGAAGAUAAAAGUAUAUUUCACUAUUAGUUUAGUAGCAAAUAACCUAAGCAUAGUGCAUAUGACAGCAUACAUCAACUUAAGAAAGUGAUCAAAUUAUCUCUCUGAACCAAAAAGGCAAGAUUACACUUCACUGUCUUAUCACAUUACCAUCAGAAGUAUCAGAUACUAUUAUAGAUCUGUAUACACCUCACUGUCUUAUCACACAAUUAUACAUAAGAUUAACCAAUGAAAUGAGGCUGGGACCUAGCGGGGCGGACGUUGGGGCUAAACACUGGUCACUAGUGGUGGUGAACGGAAUAGGCAAGAGAUUUCAUCCAUUAAUAAAGCUACUCCAAUCUUCUUAAUCAUGACAACAUAUAAAGGCAGGAGGCUCACCUUCUUUGUUGUAGGUUGGCAAUGACGCAGCAGCUGCAAGAUCGGAGGAGGAGGUCGUUAGGGGGUAGAGGAGGAGGCCGAGGCGAGCUCGUGCUGGUCGGUGGCAGACGAAUUUAUCAAGAAGGCGGCACCUGGGCGCCUAACACGGCGUAUCAAAGGCAGCUCAUCUCGGGCCAUCCAGGCCAUCCUAGGAAGAGCGAAACUGCAUUGGCAUUAGUAUCUGUGCAUAUGCUUGCUUAGGAAUUUGGAUCAAAAUUUAAUUGCACCUGUCGCAACAACUAGACAUGAAUACACAUAUGUGCAUUUGUGUGUCUCAUAUAUUUGUUUAGAGCAGAACUUUACACACACACACACACGCACGCACACACACAAACUCUCGUGCAUGCACACCCCCCCCCCCCACACACACACAUAUAUAUAAAUUUGGUAUAUUAUAUUAGGGGUGCAGGCCAAACAAUGGUUCAUAACAACGCAUCUAUACAACUGAANNNNNNNNNNNNNNNNNNNNNNNNNNNNNNNNNNNNNNNNNNNNNNNNNNNNNNNNNNNNNNNNNNNNNNNNNNNNNNNNNNNNNNNNNNNNNNNNNNNNNNNNNNNNNNNNNNNNNNNNNNNNNNNNNNNNNNNNNNNNNNNNNNNNNNNNNNNNNNNNNNNNNNNNNNNNNNNNNNNNNNNNNNNNNNNNNNNNNNNNNNNNNNNNNNNNNNNNNNNNNNNNNNNNNNNNNNNNNNNNNNNNNNNNNNNNNNNNNNNNNNNNNNNNNNNNNNNNNNNNNNNNNNNNNNNNNNNNNNNNNNNNNNNNNNNNNNNNNNNNNNNNNNNNNNNNNNNNNNNNNNNNNNNNNNNNNNNNNNNNNNNNNNNNNNNNNNNNNNNNNNNNNNNNNNNNNNNNNNNNNNNUAGGUUAAUAGAUUAAUGCAGAUACAAGAUUGAAAGUAGAGUAUACUCACGAGGUAGUACUUCAUAAAGAUGUUUGUGAGCUAACCAGAGAUACUACUGGUGUGCUUCGUCGUUGCUUCCGGACAUGUGAGCAAGGGUUAUAUUGUGUAUGUGCUCCUGUUGGACGGCGCAGCCAGUUCCUCCACCUCAUGCACUGACCGCGUGGUGGUGAAGUGGUGGCUGGGCGUGGAGGUAUCUUCCCAGUGGAGAGCUCCCAAUCAAAAACACAUCAAGCAAAGAAUCAUAAAAAAAAGAACCAAACAACAUAAUUAACAUUAAAACACCAAUUCCUCAUAUAAUAAAAAACUAGAAACUGGGAGCCGACUAGAUAACCAAAUUAACCUAGCAACCAAGAAUAACAUUUUGAUUCGAAGAACUGCAACCACAAUAAGCAUAGACCCUCAAUGCUCUUUUCUAAUCAACCAUGUGAUUAUAUGGCUAAGCAAGGAUCAUAAUAAGCAGAAUUGGGAGCCAACUGGAUAAAAUUUUGAUUCAAAGAACUGCAACCACAAUAAGUAGAAGGGUAAGGCGCACUCCGCUGCGCCGGUUAUAGUUGCAUUCUGCAUCAACUAUGCAUGCUAAGCUCAACCCCCAAAAACUUGUCUUCCAGGCUGUAGCUCAAAGUUUGUAGCUUUAGAUAAACUGCAGGACAAAGCUCCAAUUGUUAUGCUAGUUCUCUUCUGGAUCUACUGUGAAGAAUUGGUAGCCAACAUGUAAUGAAUGUUCGGGCAAAUAUGUAACGUGGAUAACAAUGUGCCUUGGUGUGUUGCAUAAUAGUUCUCUCUCUCCUACUCUGUGAUAAUAUGAUGGAUAAUUUUGUAGCUUGUUGUCUGUAGGAAAUGAACGCUUUCACUCUGUAUCUAAGAUUACUUACAUUAUCUAUAUCCAAGUUGUAGCUGUCAAACGCAUAAGGAUUAAAAAUAGUUACCUCACCUUUUGAGAGAAACAAAAUUGAUCUCAUCGUCAUCAUCACAAAUGAAUAGGUAUAUUCUGUACAUUUCAACAAUUGACUCAAAUCUGUAGAAAUAAAUCAGAGAAAUGAGCUCAGGAAGAUAUAGUCAGAACCUGAGCUAUAAAUUGGUCUCAGAAAUAAAGCUGACAGCAUGAUUGAUUUUAAGUGUCGCAGAACCCAGAGAGAUAGUCGGGCAUUAUCUCUACAAAUUGAGCUCAGAAGCAAGUAUAAACGAAAAUAGAUAUUGGCUUAAAUUUGUACAGAAUAAAACAGAUAAAUUAUAACACGGUUGAGAUAAAUUAUACAUGUCUCGAACACAGCAGAACAAAUAUAUGUGCCAAAAAUUACUCAUAUAUUAUAUUGGCUUAGCAGGUAAGUCAUGACAUUGAGAGGCCUGAUAUUGCAUCAUCAGAUAGUAAAGUGCAUAUUGAUUUGAACUUUAACAAGCAACAAACAAUGCCCAAAAAGCUUAGAUAAAACUCAAGACGAACACUAUCACAGAAAAAUAUGCCUAAAAAGUCCAAAAUAUGAACAUGGUCCUAAAACUUCCCGAAAUAUUAUACUAGACACCAAAUACUUUGCUAUGUUUUCUACUAUCCAGGAUAUGAACUAAAAUCUCAUGGAGGGUAUUAAAUUGUUCCAAAUAUCAUUCCAGAAACCAGAAAAGAGAUUAUUCAUUUGAUUUAUUCAAAUGCUUUGGUACUAAAGCUUUGUUGCACAAGAUGCACCAGCACCAUAUGAAUUGCCAUAUCCACUAAAAGGACCAGCAUAUGGACUGCCAGCCAAACAAAAACAAUAGAACUUUUUCUUGCUGGUACCUGAAUAUUCGGGGCAGUCGCUGUGCUGAACAUAACAUAAACAACAGAACUUGAGGGCAAAGUGGAAUUGAAAUACCUUCAAGAUCACUGGUGUAAAUUGAGUCGUAUUGAUCCUUGUCUUCUUCACGACGCGUUUGCUACCAGAGCCCUAGCAGAAGUGGAAUUGAAGUCAGAACAAAGACAACAAAAAAGUUGUUAGUUAUAAGCCUAUGAUAUUUUGCCUCUGAGAGUGAACACUACCCAUUUAUGAUUAUAUAUAUAUAUAUAUAUGUGUGUGUGUGUGUGUGUGUGUGUGUGUGUGUGCGUGCGUGCGUGCGUGCGUGUGUGUGUACCUUACAAUUGGAAAUGAAUUUAGAAUAUGCUAUUUAUUGUUAUUGACCUCUGUACCAGACUACAAUAUUCGUAGGGAAUAGUUAACCAUUCAUGCAAUUAAUACAUUACUUGAGAAAUCAAACCUCUGUCUUUUUAGCAUGGCGACGUUUGCAGCGGUGCCCAUCUGAUCAUCAGAGACAAUUGGUCAGUUGAAUGUAAGAUCUGUAACAGAAAUUAGCAGCAACUACACUUCCACAGACUAUACCUUCGUCAUCACUUAUGUAAAUCAGGUUACUGAUCCUUGCUCCUUUCAUAGUGCAAUUGUUACUGAGGCCUUAGCAAGAGCAGAACCAAAUUGUGACAGAAAAAAAACCAAAAGAUCAGAUUCUAUUAUGAGCCUACACACAUUUUUCACCGCCAGCAAACAAUUUAUUAUGAAUGUGAGAUAGAAUCUAUUCAUCUUAGAGUUUGGAACUAAAAGGAAGAAUAUUUGUAAGAGCACCAUGUGUACUCCUUAUAUGGCUAAACCAUCACUAGUAGAAAAAGGGUCAAAUGUGAAGCACAUUAGUGCCGGUUUGAAUUUGAGCCGACACUAAUGUGACCAUUAGUGCCGGUUCCAACGGCUAGGCGGGCGGGCAUCAUUAAUACCGGUUCGUGGGUAACCUUUAGUACCGGUUCAUGCCACGAACCGGUACUAAUGAGGCUGUGUCAGGCUAUGGUCAGUCUGGGGCCCCCACGAAGACCUUUAGUACCGGUUCCGGUACUAUAGUUUCUUUGUAAGCUGAUUUUUAGUCCCACCUCGCCAAGAGAGAGGCAAUAUGAGCGGUUUAUAAGCCGUGAGUGCACAGACAAUGACGAAGAGUUGCAAUGCUCACCUACAUGUUGAUUAGCUUCAAGCCUUGCGGAAUAGCAUAGAUUGCACUGAGCUAUGUGCAGUGCAGUCUACACUAUUCUGAAUGGCUUGAAACAAAUUAACCAGCAUUGCACCUCUUUUUUAUUUUUAAUAACUUAUUUGAACUCCGGACUUCUUUUGUGUUCAGUAUGCAACAUUCAAAGUAACGUCAUCAAUUUCCAACAUGUUUUAACAUCAUUUGUUGUUUUUCGGUCAUUUACCUAAUUGUUUAGAGAGCUAAAUGACCGUGAAAUUGAAAAUCACUACAAAAUAAAUCCUAAAAAUGUUGAAACUUGGCAUGGUAUCAUCAUAUCACCCGCAUAGCAUGCGCGAAAGAGUAGAGAGAGUCACGGCAAAAACUGGACGCACUUCGUGUACAAACUGGACAUACUCUUUCGGAGUAUCAGGGUUUCGGAUGAGAACUCAUCUGUUACACGGCCACUUCAAUGUUUUUAAACUUAUUUGAACUCCAGACUUCUUUUGUGUUCAGUAUGCAGCAUUCAAAGCGACGUCAUCAAUUUCCAACAUGUUCUGACAUCAUUUGUUGUUUUUCGGUCAUUUACCUAAUUGUUUUAGAGAGCUAAAUGGCCGUGAAAUUGAAAAUCACUACAAAAUGAAUCCUGAAAAUGUUGAAACUUGGCAUGGUAUCAUCAUAUCACCCGCAUAGCAUGCGCGAAAGAGUAGAGAGGGUCACGGCAAAAACUGGACGCACUUCGUGUACAAACUGGACAUACUCUUUCGGAGUAUCAGGGUUUCGGACGAGAACUCAUCUGUUACACGGCCACUUCAAUGUUUUUUAAAUUUAUUUGAACUCCGGACUUCUUUUGUGUUCAGUAUACAGCAUUCGAAGCGACAUCAUCAAUUUCCAACAUGUUCUGACAUCAUUUGUUGUUUUUCGGUCAUUUACCUAAUUGUUCAAUAUGCAACAUUCAAUUUCCAGAAGAAAAUAAAUAGAAGAAAAGAAAUAAUGCAGAAAAUAAAAAAACUAUACAAAAAAAUUACUCAAAAAUAAAUAGAAGGAAAUAAAUAAUGCAGGAAAGAAAAAACUAUAUAAAAAACUACUCAAAAAUAAAUAGAAGAAGAUAAAUAAUGCAGAAAAGAAAAAAACUAUAUAAAAAAUUUGUUGGCGUGCUGCCCAGUGGGCCUACCAGACCUAGGGUGUGCAAAUGCAGGCCCAGAAGGGCCAGCAGGCUCACAGGGCAGCGCGCCCUAAUUAAUUAGGCCCUGAAGCCUGCUAUAUAGAGGAGUUCGAAGAGGUAGCCGCGGCUGGGUUUAUAAACCAGUGCGGCUGCCCUUCGCCCGGCGAGGUGGGGCUAAACUUUGGGGUGGCAGCGCGAGGCCUUUAGUACCGGUUGGUGGCUCCAACCGGUAUUAAAGACCACCCUUUAGUACCGGUUGGAACCACCAACCGGUACUAAAGGCUUGCUCUUCCCGCCUCUUGGCCUGGCCAAAGUUGGCCUUUAGUACCGGUUGGUGGCUCCAACCGAUACUAAAGGCCUCUCCUAUAUAUACAACACUUACGAAAAUUCAGUUAGAUCUCCCCACUUCUUUCGUCUCCAACCUCUCGCGCGCCGCUCGAACCCGUCCUCGUCGCCCAUCGCCCGUCGUCCGUCAUCGUCGUCGCUGUCCCCGCCGCCGCCCGUCAUCGUCGCCGUCUCGCGCCGCCGCCCCGAACGCCGCGUGCUGCCGUCCGUCGUCGUCCCGCCGCGGUCCCGUACGUCUCUCGCUCUCGCGUAUACCCGCCGCGCCGCCNNNNNNNNNNNNNNNNNNNNNNNNNNNNNNNNNNNNNNNNNNNNNNNNNNNNNNNNNNNNNNNNNNNNNNNNNNNNNNNNNNNNNNNNNNNNNNNNNNNNNNNNNNNNNNNNNNNNNNNNNNNNNNNNNNNNNNNNNNNNNNNNNNNNNNNNNNNNNNNNNNNNNNNNNNNNNNNNNNNNNNNNNNNNNNNNNNNNNNNNNNNNNNNNNNNNNNNNNNNNNNNNNNNNNNNNNNNNNNNNNNNNNNNNNNNNNNNNNNNNNNNNNNNNNNNNNNNNNNNNNNNNNNNNNNNNNNNNNNNNNNNNNNNNNNNNNNNNNNNNNNNNNNNNNNNNNNNNNNNNNNNNNNNNNNNNNNNNNNNNNNNNNNNNNNNNNNNNNNNNNNNNNNNNNNNNNNNNNNNNNNNNNNNNNNNNNNNNNNNNNNNNNNNNNNNNNNNNNNNNNNNNNNNNNNNNNNNNNNNNNNNNNNNNNNNNNNNNNNNNNNNNNNNNNNNNNNNNNNNNNNNNNNNNNGUCCGUCGUCGUCGCACCCGGCCCGUACGACGGCGCCCCCGCCCGUACGUACGCCGCCGCCCCCGCCCCAUACGCCGGCGCCCCCGCUCGUACGUACGGGGCGGCGGCGUAUGGGGCCGCACACAUACACACAUACACACACAUAUAUACGUACACACUACACACACACACAUACACACACAUUUUUUUUUUUUACUUAUUUUCUGUUUUUUAGAAAAGUUAAUUAGAUGAUCAAAAGUUUGAUUAAUGUCGAAUGUUAGAUGAAUUAGCUAGAUAGAAAAUUGUCGAACUAUAGAGAUUUGAACUAGUUGAAUAAUUAAUAUAACUAGUUUAUUUUUAGUAAGAAAAUUAUUGAACUAGUUUAUUUAGCUAUAUGAGAUUUGAACUAGUUCAAUAAUUAAUAUAACUAGUUUAUUUUUAGUAAGAAAAUUGUCGAACUAGUUUAUUUAGGUAUAUGAGAUUUGAACUAGUUCAAUAAUUAAUAUAACUAGUUUAUUUUUAGUAAGAAAAUUUAGGUAUCUGAGAUUUGAUGAUCUAAUUAAAAUAUUAUUUGUUAAUUAGUUUUUCUGUUUAUUUAAUUUUUAUAUAUUUUGAUUUUAUAUAAAUGUUAGAUUAAUGUCGAAUGUUAGAUGAAUUAGAUAGAAAAGUUAUAUAUAUAGUAAUGUCAAUUGUUAGAGAUGAAUAUAGUUAGAUAUAUUAAUGUCAAAUGUUAGAUGAAUAUAUAUUUGGCUAAAUAUUAAUUAAUGUUAGAUAGUAAUAGAUGUUUAAUGUUUCACCUAUAUGAAUAUAGGAAAUGUCAUCUGACGACGAAAAAGAUUUCAUUAUGUGCGAACACCGUGAAGACCAGCGCGGCCUGUGCGACAGAAAUUUCCUUGUUGAUGGUAGGCGCUUCAGCAUCAAGCUGGAUGAAACAUUCGAAGUUGAUACAGUAAGUCACUUUGUCAAUUAUUAUUUGAAUGCAAAACUUAUGCUUCAUUUGCUUCAACUUAUAAUUUUAAAUUUUCACUAUUCUACUAGCGCAUCCCCUGCCAUGCAAGAAUUUUUGUCUUGGAUAAGAUAGGUUUUAGUGCUAUAGAUGAUAUGGAGGUAAAGAGAGUUUACUUGAAGACGGAGCAUGGGUAUAUUUUCAACGUCAAAUUAUAUAAUGGAGACACAUACACCCAUUUUGAAUGCAAAACUUGGCAAGCACUAUGCAAGGCUUAUGCAUUUGAGCCUGGUAUGGUUGUCACCUUUGAUAUUCGUCCGGAAGAUGAUAUUGAAGGUAAUAUAGACAUCUGGGCCGAUGUGCAAACGCCUCCAGUUCUACCAUUAUGUGAGUUUUUCUCAACCAUGCAUGCAUAUGUUUAUGUCUUUGAUACAGUUUAUUCAAAAAUAGUUGACAACUAAUUUGUAUUGUUAGCUUAUUUCGGUUCAAGUAAACAUGUCCGGCGCUUGGUAGACAGGACCUACUAAUGCCCCGGGGCUCAACUAAACUGCGAGGAGAUAAGUCAUUAUGUUUCAUAGCUUGAGGAUCUUAAUACUGUCAAGACAAUUUUUUUUCUGAACUUAGAAAUGUUAGUACUCAAAACGUGCGACCAAUGGUGAUCGUAUUGAACUACGAUCACAUCUAUAAUCGAAAGAUGGUAAGAUUUUAACUAUUUGUCCUUAAUUAGUGCAUCUUUUGCAUACAUUAUUUUUGAAGCUAAACUUUCAUUGCUUAGUAUAUUAAUUAUUAUACGAUGUUCUUCAACAGGGACUUCCGAUGACAGUUGUGCCUCAGUGGAUCGAGACUAAAGGUGACAUGUCAAUGGUUAGCUUACGGCCAAGAUAUCCUACAUUGCACAUGAGUGCAUUCAGGAUUUCUGAAAGCGAAGAAUGCUUAAUAGUGAAAUAUUGGAGCAAAAUUGUUAACGGUCGCAGAGAAGUACUAGGGGGCAGCAAGGAGAAGCGCAACCCAAGAUUAGGAGACAGAUUCAUCUGCAUGCUCCAGUAUGAUGAAUCAGGAGAGCUAUACAUAUUCUAUGCUAUUCUACCUGAGAGGGAGCAGCACUAGUUCAUGCUCUUAAUUAGUGUCUCAUGUCCGUGUCCUGAACUUCGAUGUUGGUGAUGAUUAUGUUGAACUCGAUGAUAUCUUUGCUUUUGUUACAAAGUGAAUGUUUCCUUUUUAAGCUAGCCAGUGUUGGUGAUGAUUAGAUAGCUAGCGGUAAUGACUAUGAUGAUUAAAUAGUGGUAAUUAGACGACUACGAUGAUUUUUAGCUAGCUAGAGUUUAUUUAUUUAUUAAUAUGCGAUGAUGACGAUGACGACUACAACUCAUUAUAACGUAAAACAAUCCUAAAUUAAAUUGAUAACACAAAUUUAAUUGAAAAAUACAAAAUAAAAUAAAACCCACAAACAUUUAGUACUGGUUGGUGUUACCAACCGGUACUAAAGGGCUCCCGGCCCCCGGAGCUGGCUCGUGCCACGUGGUUUCCCUUUAGCACCGGUUCGUGCUGAACCGGUACUAAAGGGGGGGGGCUUUAGUGCCCACACUUUAGUGCCGGUUAUGAAACCGGCACUAAAGGGCCUUACGAACCGGUGCUAUUGCCCGGUUCUGCACUAGUGCAUGGUAUGUCCCAGGAUUAAUCCUACCAUUUAGACCAAGCCAUAAGUUCGGCUAGAAGUAACUAAACUGUGAGCCAUGCAUGUUUUAGCAUUAUAAAUAAACAGAUCUAUACAUACCACGUAAAGUGUAGCCGCCAAUGUUUUUACUUUGUUUUCUAAGGAACAAGGGAGAAAAGAUAGAAAAAACGAGAUAGAGAUGGUAAGUACAGGUCAUGACAAUCAGAAUCGAUGUUCUACUUGAAAGAAUCACAUCUGCACCUCAGGGCGACCGCACAACACUAUUUUUCUCUACAAUCACCUUUUUAACGUUCAUGAACAACAAAGUAUCACCCUACACAAAUGUUGUAAUGUUUUUCCUUGGAUGUUUGGGAUUCAGUUUCUUGAGCUAUUGCAUCCAUCCUAAGUGCACGUGCAUUACCAAUUGAAAUUUGAACUAAAUUACAAAAGCGAUCUAGGCCUACUAAUAUUGACCGUAACCAAGACAACACAGUCGACUAAUUUUAAGCAACAAACAAGACAGGGUAGAAUCAGAGUUCAACCUCUUUUUGUCCGAUCUUCCCAUGAACAUUCUUCUGUGCUGCUGAAACCGAAACAAACUACAUCAAUAUAUGAAGGAAAUCUCAAGAAAAUGAAUGGUCAAAUAAAUUUUCCUCUGUAAAGUAGUGCAAUUUAGAACAAAAAAGUGAAGAAGAAUGUAACUGUACAAUUUAGAACAUGUCCAUAUGAUGCCCAUCAAAUUAAUCUGCUGCUCUUAUCUGUGACGUACGGUAGAUCUACCACAACACAUAAAAAAGUUGAAUAAAGGUAUGCUCAUAGUCAUGGUGGGGUUGUUAAUUAGAGGACCACUAAUUUGCUCGAGAGAACAAUGCACAUAGAUGAUUGUGUAGAAUUUCAGAGGUGCAGAAUGAAACCCACUUCUCACGUGUUUGCUGCUAACACACCAUGGCUUACAAAACUAAUGCAUGAGAUUAAUAUGACAUAUAUAUGAUUGUAUGUCAGAUAUAAAACCUCCACUUGCAGCAGCGAAGUAGAUCAAGCAGUGGAGAACCCAUCCAAGCUACUGCAAAGACCUCGUCCUACCCCAUGACAGUGGUCACCUGCAAUCCAAAACGAUGAGAGGACGAACCAUGAGAGAGAGAGAGAGAGAUUAUGUACAUAACUGAAAAAAGACCAUGCUUCAAUUAUAAAUCCUGCCUGGAUGUUGGCAUUCAUCCCAUGGUUCCGACAUCAAUUAACCAGAAGGGUUGACACAAUACAACCCAUCAUUGGUGCAGCAGCAGAUACAAUCAAUUUAUAAUGUAUAAAAAAGGCUAACAAAAUACACAUAUGCAUACAUCUACCACUGUGUGGAGAAAAAAAUAUUCAUCCACCAAAAUACACAUAUGCAUAAAGAAUUUAAGCACAUAAUAACAGGAAAUUUCGCCUGAUUUAACAGGUACAGUUUUUGAAUUAGGUAAGGGAUGCACAAGUAACAUCUUAUAUUUGCACCAAUAAGAAACUAUGCCUGGAUGCACCAAGACUGCUCUCUCUAGUCAGUGUAGUUGCAAGAAAAUUCGAGCUUGCUUCCUUAAAUAAUAACCUCUUAGCUGACCACAAAAUUGGAUUUUCAACAGCCAUGCACAAUUCCCUUUAAUAACCUAAUGACACCAUGCCCAAUGAGAAGAAAACAAACAAGAUAAUUGUUAGGGAGACGGGCGACGGGCGUCCCGAACUGGACGUCGGACCGGGUCCAGUUCCCCCGUCUUCUCUCCAACCAGAGGAAAGGACCGAUGGCGGUGGCGGGCGGAGAAGUCGCGGGGCCGUGGCCGCGAGGAGGCGGCGGCUGGCGGAGAAGUCCGAGGCCACGAGCUGGGAGGAGGCGGCGGCCGGCAGACGUGCGACCAAGGCGGAUGCGGUGAAGCAGCAACGGACAACCACGGGGAAGGAGCAGUGGCUGCCAGCAGGGAAGAAGACAGCGACGGCCGGGAGUACCGACGGACGUGAGAUGGAUCGGAGGACGCACGAGUUGCGCGUGCAGAAAAAAAAACCUAAUGCUCUAAUACCAUGUUAGGAACAGCAACUUGUAUUAUUAGGAGGCCAAAGCCAACAUAUAUACACAUACAUGAGGAUGCCAAAAGGCUACAAGAGUAUGCCAAAAGACUGAAUGCAAAAGGUCAAAAGGCAUCACUAAUAUAACUCUAACAAUAAUAAUGUAAGUUACUAAACCAUAGGAUAAACACAUACAAAACCUAUUUUGCUGAGAAGGGGCCUCACCUUGCCGUUGUGCCUAUAGGUUGGCGUUGCUUGGGGAGGCAUGGAGAGGCCAGGGAUGUGGUUCUCUUGUCGCAACCACCGAUUGGAGAUGCAGCACGCCACAUGGGUUUAGCAGCAACUCACUUAUUCCUCGUAUGUUUCUUGGUGGCGGACAUGCCUCUUCUUCACUUAAGCACUAAGUAACAGGGAGAGCAUGACACCAGACACCAACGAAUCUUCAGUGCAAGAAAGAAGGAAUCCGUGAGGUUAGGUAAGCAGGGGUGAGGGUGAAGGAAAUAUGCCCUAGAGGCAAUAAUAAAGUUAUUAUUUAUUUCCUUAUAUCAUGAUAAAUGUUUAUUAUUCAUGCUAGAAUUGUAUUAACCGGAAACAUAAUACAUGUGUGAAUACAUAGACAAACAAAGAGUGUCACUAGUAUGCCUCUACUUGACUAGCUCGUUAACCAAAGAUGGUUAUGUUUCCUAACCAUGAACAAAGAGUUGUUAUUUGAUUAACGAGGUCACAUCAUUAGCUGAAUGAUCUGAUUGACAUGACCCAUUCCAUUAGCUUAGCACCCGAUCGUUUAGUAUGUUGCUAUUGCUUUCUUCAUGACUUAUACAUGUUCCUAUGACUAUGAGAUUAUGCAACUCCCGUUUACCGGAGGAACACUUUGGGUGCUACCAAACGUCACAACGUAACUGGGUGAUUAUAAAGGAGCAUUACAGGUGUCUCCAAAGGUACAUGUUGGGUUGGCGUAUUUCGAGAUUAGGAUUUGUCACUCCGAUUGUCGAAGAGGUAUCUCUGGGCCCUCUCGGUAAUGCACAUCACAUAAGCCUUGCAAGCAUUGCAACUAAUGAGUUAGUUGUGAGAUGAUGUAUGACGGAACGAGUAAAGAGACUUGCCGGUAACGAGAUUGAACUAGGUAUUGGAUACCGACGAUCGAAUCUCGGGCAAGUAACAUACCGAUGACAAAGGGAACAACGUAUGUUGUUAUGCGGUCUGAUCGAUAAAGAUCUUCGUAGAAUAUGUAGGAGCCAAUAUGGGCAUCCAGGUCCCGCUAUUGGUUAUUGACCGGAGACGUGUCUCGGUCAUGUCUACAUUGUUCUCGAACCGUAGGGUCCGCACGCUUAACGUUACGAUGACAGUUAUUAUGAGUUUAUGCAUUUUGAUGUACCGAAGGUUGUUCGGAGUCCCGGAUGUGAUCACGGACAUGACGAGGAGUCUCGAAAUGGUCGAGACAUAAAGAUUGAUAUAUUGGAAGCCUAUAUUUGGACAUCGGAAGUGUUCCGGGUGAAAUCGGGAUUUUACCGGAUUACCGGGAGGUUACCGGAACCCCCCGUGAGCCAUAUGGGCCUUCACGGGCCUUAGUGGAAAGGAGAAAGGGAAGCCCAAGGAGGGCUGCGCACCUCCCCCCCUCCCUAGUCCUAUUAGGACUAGGAAAGGUGGCCGGCCCCCCUCUCUCUCUUUCCCUCCUUGAGAAUCCUAAUUGGAAUAGGAUUGGAGGGGGGAGUCCUACUCCCGGCGGGAGUAGGACUCCUCCUGCGCCCUCUCCCUGGCCGGCGCACCCCUCCCCCUUGGCUCCUUUAUAUACGGGGGCAAGGGGCACCUCUAGACACACAAGUUGAUCCUUGGUGAUCGUUCCUUAGCCGUGUGCGGUGCCCCCUGCCACCAUAUUCCACCUCGGUCAUAUCUUUGUAGUGCUUAGGCGAAGCCCUGCGUCGGUAGAACAUCAAGAUCAUCACCACGCCGUCGUGCUGACGGAACUCUUCCUCGACGCUUUGCUGGAUCGAAGCCCGAGGAUCGUCAUCGAGCUGAACGUGUGCUAAGAACUCGGAGGUGCCGGAGUAACGGUACUUGGAUCGGUCGGAUCGGGAAGAAGACGUACGACUACUUCCUCCACGUUGUGUCAACGCUUCCGUUGCGAUCUACAAGGGUACGUAGAUCAUACUCUCCCCUCGUUGCUAUGCAUCACCAUGAUCUUGCGUGUGCGUAGGAAAUUUUUUGAAAUUACUACGUUCCCCAACAGUGGCAUCCGAGCCAGGUUUUAUGGUUUGCUGUUAUUUGCACGAGUAGAACACAAGUGAGUUGUGGGCGAUACAAGUCAUACUGCCUACCAGCAUGUCAUACUUUGGUUCGGCGGUAUUGUUGGACGAGACGACCCGGACCAACCUUACGCGUACGCUUACGCGAGACCGGUUCCCUCGAUGUGCUUUGCACAUAGAUGGCUCGCGAGCGAUUGUCUCUCCAACUUUAGUUGAACCGAGUGUGGCUACGCCCGGUCCUUGAGAAGGUUAAAACGGAGUCUAUUUGACAAACUAUCGUUGUGGUUUUGAUGCGUAGGUGAGACGAGUUCUUUCUUAAGCCCGUAGCAGCCACGUAAAACUUGCAACAACAAAGUAGAGGACGUCUAACUUGUUUUUGCAGGCCAUGUUGUGAUGUGAUAUGGUCAAGGCAUGAUGCUAAAUUUUACUGUAUGAGAUGAUCAUGUUUUGUAACCGAGUUAUCGGCAACUGGCAGGAGCCAUAUGGUUGUCGCUUUAUUGUAUGCAAUGCAAUCGCGAUGUAAUGCUUUACUUUAUUACUAAGCGGUAGUGAUAGUAGUGGAAGCAUAAGAUUGGCGAGACGACAACGAUGCUACGAUGGAGAUCAAGGUGUCGCGCCGGUGACGAUGGUGAUCAUGACGGUGCUUCGGAGAUGGAGAUCACAAGCACAAGAUGAUGAUGGCCAUAUCAUAUCACUUAUAUUUGAUUGCAUGUGAUGUUCAUCUUUUAUGCAUCUUAUCUUGCUUUGAUUGACGGUAGCAUUAUAAGAUGAUCUCUCACUAAAUUAUCCAGAAGUGUUCUCCCUGAGUAUGCACCGUUGCGAAAGUUCUUCGUGCUGAGACACCACGUGAUGAUCGGGUGUGAUAGGCUCUACGUUCAAAUACAACGGGUGCAAAACAGUUGCACACGCGGAAUACUCAGGUUAUACUUGAUGAGCCAAGCAUAUACAGAUAUGGCCUCGGAACACGGAGACCGAAAGGUCGAGCGUGAAUCAUAUAGCAGAUAUGAUCAACAUAAUGAUGUUCAUCGAUGAAACUACUCCAUCUCACGUGAUGAUCGGACAUGGUUUAGUUGAUUUGGAUCAUGUAAUCACUUAGAGGAUUAGAGGGAUGUCUAUCUAAGUGGGAGUUCUUAAGUAAUAUGAUUAAUUGAACUUAAAUUUAUCAUGAACUUAGUACCUGAUAGUAUCUUGCUUGUUUAUGUUGAUUGUAGAUAGAUGGCUCGUGUUGUUGUUCCGUUGAAUUUUAAUGCGUUCCUUGAGAAAGCAAAGUUGAAAGAUGAUGGUAGCAAUUACACGGACUGGGUCCGUAACUUGAGGAUUAUCCUCAUUGUUGCACAGAAAAAUUACGUCUUGGAAGCACCGCUGGGUGCCAGGCCUGCUGCUGGAGCAACACCAGAUGUUAUGAACGUCUGACAGAGCAAAGCUGAUGACUACUCGAUAGUUCAGUGUGCCAUGCUUUACGGCUUAGAAUCGGGACUUCAACGACGUUUUGAACGUCAUGGAGCAUAUGAGAUGUUCCAGGAGUUGAAGUUAAUAUUUCAAGCAAAUGCCUGGAUUGAGAGAUAUGAAGUCUCCAAUAAGUUCUAUAGCUGCAAGAUGGAGGAGAACAGUUCUGUCAGUGAGCAUAUACUCAAGAUGUCUGGGUAUAAUAAUCACUUGAUUCAAUUGGGAGUUAAUCUUCCAGAUGAUUGCGUCAUUGACAGAAUUCUUCAAUCACUGCCACCAAGCUACAAGAGCUUCGUGAUGAACUAUAAUAUGCAAGGGAUGAACAAGACUAUUCCCGAGCUCUUCGCAAUGCUGAAAGUUGCGGAGGUAGAAAUCAAGAAGGAGCAUCAAGUGUUGAUGGUCAACAAGACCACUAGUUUCAAGAAAAAGGGCAAAGGGAAGAAGAAGGGGAACUUCAAGAAGAACAGCAAGCAAGUUGCUGCUCAGGAGAAGAAACCCAAGUCUGGACCUAAGCCUAAAACUGAGUGCUUCUACUGCAAGCAGACUGGUCACUGGAAGCGGAACUGCCCCAAGUAUUUGGCGGAUAAGAAGGAUGGCAAGGUGAACAAAGGUAUAUGUGAUAUACAUGUUAUUGAUGUGUACCUUACUAAUGCUCGCAAUAGCACCUGGGUAUUUGAUACUAGUUCUGUUGCUAAUAUUUGCAACUCGAAACAGGGGCUACGGAUUAAGCGAAGAUUGGCUAAGGACGAGGUGACGAUGCGCGUGGGAAACGGUUCCAAAGUCGAUGUGAUCGCGGUCGGCACGCUACCUCUACAUCUACCUUCGGGAUUAAUAUUAGACCUAAAUAAUUGUUAUUUGGUGCCAGCGUUGAGCAUGAACAUUAUAUCUGGAUCUUGUUUAAUGCGAGACGGUUAUUCAUUUAAAUCAGAGAAUAAUGGUUGUUCUAUUUAUAUGAGUAAUAUCUUUUAUGGUCACGCACCUUUGAAGAGUGGUCUAUUUUUAUUGAAUCUCGAUAGUAGUGAUACACAUAUUCAUAAUGUUGAAACCAAAAGAUGCAGAGUUGAUAAUGAAAGUGCAACUUAUUUGUGGCACUGCCGUUUAGGUCAUAUCGGUGUAAAACGCAUGAAGAAACUCCAUACUGAUGGACUUUUGGAACCACUUGAUUAUGAAUCACUUGGUACUUGCGAACCGUGCCUCAUGGGCAAGAUGACUAAAACACCAUUCUCCGGUACUAUGGAGAGAGCAACAGAUUUGUUGGAAAUCAUACAUACAGAUGUGUGUGGUCCGAUGAAUAUUGAGGCUCAUGGCGGAUAUCGUUAUUUUCUCACCUUCACAGAUGAUUUAAGCAGAUAUGGGUAUAUCUACUUAAUAAAACAUAAGUCUGAAACAUUUGAAAAGUUCAAAGAAUUUCAGAGUGAAGUGGAAAAUCAUCGUAACAAGAAAAUAAAAUUUCUACGAUCUGAUCGUGGAGGAGAAUAUUUGAGUUACGAGUUUGGUGUACAUUUGAAAAAUUGUGGAAUAGUUUCGCAACUCACGCCACCCGGAACACCACAACGUAAUGGUGUGUCCGAACGUCGUAAUCGUACUUUACUAGAUAUGGUGCGAUCUAUGAUGUCUCUUACUGAUUUACCGCUAUCGUUUUGGGGAUACGCUCUAGAGACGGCCGCAUUCACGUUAAAUAGGGCACCAUCAAAAUCCGUUGAGACGACGCCUUAUGAACUGUGGUUUGGCAAGAAACCAAAGUUGUCGUUUCUGAAAGUUUGGGGCUGCGAUGCUUAUGUGAAAAAGCUUCAACCUGAUAAGCUCGAACCCAAAUCGGAGAAAUGUGUCUUCAUAGGAUAUCCAAAGGAAACUAUUGGAUACACCUUCUAUCACAGAUCCGAAGGCAAGACUUUUGUUGCUAAGUUCGGAAACUUUCUGGAGAAGGAGUUUCUCUCGAAAGAAGUGAGUGGGAGGAAAGUAGAACUUGACGAGGUAACUGUACCUGCUCCCUUAUUAGAAAAUAGUACAUCACAGAAAACUGUUUCUGCGACACCUACACCAAUAAGUGAGGAAGCUAAUGAUGAUGAUCAUGAAACUUUAGAUCAAGAUACUACUGAACCUCGUAGAUCAACCAGGGUGAGAUCCGCACCAGAGUGGUACGGUAAUCCUGUUCUGGAGGUCAUGCUACUAGAUCAUGAUGAACCUACGAACUAUGAAGAAGCGAUGGUGAGCCCAGAUUCCGCAAAGUGGCUUGAAGCCAUGAAAUCUGAGAUGGGAUCCAUGUAUGAGAACAAAGUAUGGACUUUGGUUGACUUGCCCGAUGAUCGGCAAGCAAUUGAGAAUAAAUGGAUCUUCAAGAAGAAGACUGACGCUGAUGGUAAUGUUACUGUCUACAAAGCUCGACUUGUCGCAAAAGGUUUUCGACAAGUUCAAGGGAUUGACUACGAUGAGACUUUCUCACCCGUAGCGAUGCUUAAGUCUGUCCGAAUCAUGUUAGCAAUUGCCGCAUUUUAUGAUUAUGAAAUUUGGCAAAUGGAUGUCAAAACUGCAUUCCUGAAUGAAUUUCUGGAAGAAGAGUUGUAUAUGAUGCAACCAGAAGGUUUUGUCGAUCCAAAGGGAGCUAACAAAGUGUGCAAGCUCCAGCGAUCCAUUUAUGGACUGGUGCAAGCCUCUCGGAGUUGGAAUAAACGUUUUGAUAGUGUGAUCAAAGCAUUUGGUUUUAUACAGACUUUCGGAGAAGCCUGUAUUUACAAGAAAGUGAGUGGGAGCUCUGUAGCAUUUCUGAUAUUAUAUGUGGAUGACAUAUUGCUGAUUGGAAAUGAUAUAGAAUUUCUGGAUAGCAUAAAGGGAUACUUGAAUAAAAGUUUUUCAAUGAAAGACCUCGGUGAAGCUGCUUACAUAUUAGGCAUAAAGAUCUAUAGAGAUAGAUCUAGACGCUUAAUUGGACUUUCACAAAGCACAUACCUUGACAAGAUUUUGAAGAAGUUCAAAAUAGAUCAAGCAAAGAAAGGGUUCUUGCCUGUGUUACAAGGUGUGAGAUUGAGUAAGACUCAAAGCCCGACCACUGCAGAAGAUAGAGAGAAAAUGAAAGAUGUUCCCUAUGCUUCAGCCAUAGGCUCUAUCAUGUAUGCAAUGUUGUGUACCAGACCUGAUGUGUGCCUUGCUAUAAGUUUAGCAGGGAGGUACCAAAGUAAUCCAGGAGUGGAUCACUGGACAGCGGUCAAGAACAUCCUGAAAUACCUGAAAAGGACUAAGGAUAUGUUUCUCGUAUAUGGAGGUGACAAAGAGCUCACCGUAAGAGGUUACGUUGAUGCAAGCUUUGACACUGAUCCGGACGAUUCUAAAUCGCAAACCGAAUACGUGUUUAUAUUAAACGGUGGAGCUGUCAGUUGAUGCAGUUCUAAACAAAGCGUCGUAGCGGGAUCUACAUGUGAAGCGGAGUACAUAGCUGCUUCGGAAGCAGCGAAAGAAGGAGUCUGGAUGAAGGAGUUCAUAUCCGAUCUAGGUGUCAUACCUAGUGCAUCGGGUCUAAUGAAAAUCUUUUGUGACAAUACUGGUGCAAUUGCCUUAGCAAAGGAAUCCAGAUUUCACAAAAGGACCAAACACAUCAAGAGACGCUUCAAUUCCAUCCGGGAUCUAGUCCAGGUGGGAGACAUAGAGAUUUGCAAGAUACAUACGGAUCUGAAUAUUGCAGACCCGUUGACUAAGCCUCUUCCACGAGCAAAACAUGAUCAGCACCAAGGCUCCAUGGGUGUUAGAAUCAUUACUGUGUAAUCUAGAUUAUUGACUCUAGUGCAAGUGGGAGACUGAAGGAAAUAUGCCCUAGAGGCAAUAAUAAAGUUAUUAUUUAUUUCCUUAUAUCAUGAUAAAUGUUUAUUAUUCAUGCUAGAAUUGUAUUAACCGGAAACAUAAUACAUGUGUGAAUACAUAGACAAACAAAGAGUGUCACUAGUAUGCCUCUACUUGACUAGCUCGUUAACCAAAGAUGGUUAUGUUUCCUAACCAUGAACAAAGAGUUGUUAUUUGAUUAACGAGGUCACAUCAUUAGCUGAAUGAUCUGAUUGACAUGACCCAUUCCAUUAGCUUAGCACCCGAUCGUUUAGUAUGUUGCUAUUGCUUUCUUCCUGACUUAUACAUGUUCCUAUGACUAUGAGAUUAUGCAACUCCCGUUUACCGGAGGAACACUUUGGGUGCUACCAAACGUCACAACGUAACUGGGUGAUUAUAAAGGAGCAUUACAGGUGUCUCCAAAGGUACAUGUUGGGUUGGCGUAUUUCGAGAUUAGGAUUUGUCACUCCGAUUGUCGGAGAGGUAUCUCUGGGCCCUCUCGGUAAUGCACAUCACAUAAGCCUUGCAAGCAUUGCAACUAAUGAGUUAGUUGUGAGAUGAUGUAUUACGGAACGAGUAAAGAGACUUGCCGGUAACGAGAUUGAACUAGGUAUUGGAUACCGACGAUCGAAUCUCGGGCAAGUAACAUACCGAUGACAAAGGGAACAACGUAUGUUGUUAUGCGGUCUGACCGAUAAAGAUCUUCGUAGAAUAUGUAGGAGCCAAUAUGGGCAUCCAGGUCCCGCUAUUGGUUAUUGACCGGAGACGUGUCUCGGUCAUGUCUACAUUGUUCUCGAACCGUAGGGUCCGCACGCUUAACGUUACGAUGACAGUUAUUAUGAGUUUAUGCAUUUUGAUGUACCGAAGGUUGUUCGGAGUCCCGGAUGUGAUCACGGACAUGACGAGGAGUCUCGAAAUGGUCGAGACAUAAAGAUUGAUAUAUUGGAAGCCUAUAUUUGGACAUCGGAAGUGUUCCGGGUGAAAUCGGGAUUUUACCGGAUUACCGGGAGGUUACCGGAACCCCCCGGGAGCCAUAUGGGCCUUCAUGGGCCUUAGUGGAAAGGAGAAAGGGAAGCCCAAGGAGGGAUGCGCACCUCCCCCCCUCCCUAGUCCUAUUAGGACUAGGAAAGGUGGCCGGCCCCCCUCUCUCUCUUUCCCUCCUUGAGAAUCCUAAUUGGAAUAGGAUUGGAGGGGGGAGUCCUACUCCCGGCGGGAGUAGGACUCCUCCUGCGCCCUCUCCCUGGCCGGCGCACCCCUCCCCCUUGGCUACUUUAUAUACGGGGGCAGGGGGCACCUCUAGACACACAAGUUGAUCCUUGGUGAUCGUUCCUUAGCCGUGUGCGGUGCCCCCUGCCACCAUAUUCCACCUCGGUCAUAUCGUUGUAGUGCUUAGGCGAAGCCCUGCGUCGGUAGAACAUCAAGAUCGUCACCACGCCGUCGUGCUAACGGAACUCUUCCUCGACGCUUUGCUGGAUCGAAGCCCGAGGAUCGUCAUCGAGCUGAACGUGUGCUAAGAACUCGGAGGUGCCGGAGUAACGGUACUUGGAUCGGUCGGAUCGGGAAGAAGACGUACGACUACUUCCUCCACGUUGUGUCAACGCUUCCGUUGCGAUCUACAAGGGUACGUAGAUCAUACUCUCCCCUCGUUGCUAUGCAUCACCAUGAUCUUGCGUGUGCGUAGGAAAUUUUUUGAAAUUACUACGUUCCCCAACAGAGGGCUAGGCAUACAAACCUGUGUUGUGGCAGCGACAAGGAUGGCGAGGAAACGAUAGCAGUGGCGGCGUCCGGUCGCCGGCAACCAUGCAGAUCCCCACCGACGCCUCUAUGCGGAUCAGCGACGCGAGCGGCGACCUUCACAUGUCGACGGGAGAGCAGCUACGGCCGUGUCUUCCUUAGUCCUCACAGGUAGUGCGGCGACAAGAGAGGCGGCUAUGGAUGAAGAGAGGCGCAGCAGCUUCGUGCCCUCCUAGAGAGGAGAAGAGGCCGGGCAGAUGGGCGACGGGCGGGGAGGAGAGGAGGCGGAGCACGAGGGCGGAGGAAUGACGGUGGCAGCGGCUAGGUUUCACUGCGAGGAGACCAGUAGCCAUGGAAGCACCUCUGCCUCCUCCCCUCUUUGCCGCUCGCUCCUCCUUUCCUCUCGUCUGGUGGCGCCCAUGAAUCGUCACGUGCGAGAUGCUCGAGUUCGUCCAUGGUCACCGCCGUGCUCAGAGCUCGGCCAUGACCGCCGCCGCGCUCACCAACACGCCCACAUGCUCCGGCUCAAGCUCGGCCAUGGCCGCCACCGCGCCCGGAUCUGGAUCCGGAGCGCCCUUCGACCCCUCACCGCGCGCUGCUCGCCGCCGAGCCUCACGGGAGUGGUCGCCGCCCCGCCGUCUUCGGAUCCGGCCGCCGCUGCCAUCUCUAUUCUUGCCCCAGCCCGACUGGUGGAAAGGUGAUUUGGGCGACGGGAGGGGAGGGGAGGAGGCAGAGCACAGGGGAUGAAGGGUGGCGGUGGCGGCGACGGCGAGUGCGGGGACAAUGGGGGCGAAUGGGAGGACGAAGAGUCGAGGCAGACACCCUCCCUCGUCUCAUCCAACCACGGGCCAAUCGGGGAUCAACACGUCACAGGGCAACGAGUGAAAUGACGAAAAUACCCUCGGCGGGGCACAGGAAUAACGGCGGUGGCAUGAGAUAUUUUCGGCGGAGAGCUGAAUUGUUCAUUGCUACAGCCUCUCUGGUCCGAUCUAGCGGUUGCGAUCAAUCGGGAGCGAGAUCCAAUGGCCGAAAACGCAUUAAGGGGUUCGAUCCGACGGCCGAAAUGCUCUAAACUCUGUGAGCGUUCGAAGGCUGCUUUGGUUCUUGUUUCUGGAUGUAAAUGUAGGAACGCACGAACCACAAUCGCCUACGACUGCUGUAGGUAAAUCAAAUGUCAAGGGCGAAGCUAGCCACACCAAUGACCUAUUGAAAACAAACAACACAACUUGCAUUGUUCAAACAAACAACACAACACACAUUGUUCAAACAAAUGACGGAAACAAAUACGUCAUAAAAUUAAACGCCACCGAGAGCAAACAUCAGAAGUUAAACGGCACAAACAGCCUGGACGUCGUACAACACACAUCAGUAAUUAAACUGGAAAUCCCCUAAAAAAGUAAUUAAACUGGAAAGCAGUAAUUAAACUGGAAAGGGUACAAAGACAGCGAAAAUCGACUAUGCUGCGCAUCAGCUUCAACUUGUUAUAAGCAGAAAUAGACAUCAUACAACACAACUAGGCAACAGAGAUCAUAACACGACUAAUUAAGAUGCAUCUAAUAGCACAACUAAGUAACACUAGCCAUGAGCCAAGACGACAUGUAUCGUCGUCUAUGUCGGAACGUCAAUAUUUAGGACGCAUCGACCGCUAUUCUAAUAAAGUUUAGAGACGGCCUAGGAUGCGUUCCGCUUCUUCGCCUUCCUCGUCGCUGUCGUGGUGGAUGACGUCGUACUGGUCGUCGGGGAGGUUGGCCCUUGGGUCGUCGUCGUGGAAGACGUCGACCUGGACGUAGGCGUUCCCGUCGCGCUUGAAGUCGGCGAGGACCCUCUCAUGGUGGGCUCGCUCGGCCUUGAUGGCGACCAUGGAGCGGAGAGUCUCGGGGAGGUUGGGCAGGGGAGGGCGAGGCUUCUUGUCCCACUCGAGCAGCCACUUGAUGUAGCUGUUCCGAUGGUCCAUCUUCACCAUCCUCUUCUCCUUGAUCCGAUACCCCUCAUACGGGUUGAGCCUCAACCUCUCGGGGGAUGCAGCACCACCAGCAGGCGCCGCCUCCUUCUCCAU
RNAcentral lists this long non-coding RNA (50049 nucleotides) under Triticum aestivum (bread wheat). RNAcentral describes it as "long non-coding RNA (TAES_LNC015290)". The record is from RNAcentral. Lineage: Eukaryota; Viridiplantae; Streptophyta; Magnoliopsida; Poales; Poaceae.